This 47953-nucleotide long non-coding RNA is filed under the name Malus domestica (apple). RNAcentral's name for it is "long non-coding RNA (MDOM_LNC011626)". Lineage: Eukaryota; Viridiplantae; Streptophyta; Magnoliopsida; Rosales; Rosaceae. The record is from RNAcentral.
UUUUUUUUUUUUUGUUGUAAAUCAUAUUAGUUGCUGAUCAUGAAACAAUUUCAUGUUUGGUUUAAGAGAAUAGGCUUGAUUCAGUGAGAUUUGGAUUCAUGAGUUAUAGCCAUCUGAGGUAGGCAAGAGUGUUUGCAUUCCUUAGAAAAAAAUUGGGAGCUACAAAACUAUGCUUUAAAUUUGAGUUUUGUGAUUACUAUUUUUGAUCUUUAUCUACUCUAGCUAUACAAUUCUUCCAUGUUUUUCAGAUCAUGGAAUGAGUUUCUCAUGCUGAGAUUGUAACCCAAUCAAUAAGUAAGUGAAACACAGAAGUUCUAUAUCGCAUGUUAGUUGUGAUCAAUUUCUAAAAAUCCGAUGUAGUGGAUUGUUAUCUUAUUGGUUACGCAAAACGAUUAAGGUUUUAUGUUUUUUAGGAUCAUAAACAUACCAUAAGUAGGAAUAAUUACAUAGAACGUGAGGACAAUGGUGUGAAUAAAUAAUUUGUUUUGAAGAAGGAGAGUUAAUUAGUAGUUAAACACACCAAUGUUGUAAACCUACAGACUAGUCAAAUAGACCAAAAGAUGAUGUAGACGAUAUCGAAUAAGAAGAAGAUCAAGAUGGAAUCUCUAUAGAAGGCCCUACAACAGAACAAGAGCCAAAGAGGUCUGAAGGUAAAUAAAGUCAUCUAUAUGAUUCAAUUUUGUGUACUAAUAAAGAGUUAUUUCUAGUUCACAUUUUGGAAGAGGGUUGAAGCUAUAUAAACUAAAUUAGAGUUCAUGAAAAACAAUAAAGCGUGGGACUUAGUGGAACCAAAACAAGGUAUUGGGUCAAUAGGACGUAAGUGAGCGUUUAAGACUAAGAAGGAUUGAAGGGGCCAAAAACCUUGAGAUAUGUAUCUGUAUAUUAAGGAGGUUGAGUUUCGAUGACAAAAUUCUCUUUACAGGGAAAGAAUAUAUGUACUUUUCGGUUCUUGCUUAAUGUAUGAAUUGUUUUGGUUGAUUGUCUUGAAAGUUGAUUCUCUUUUACAGCAAACUGGGAUUUUAAACCAAGAAAUUUGGAGGUUUUAAAGAAGUAGGGCUUAGUAAUGCUUAAGGGAUUAUAGUAAGAGAAAAGGUGAGAAAGCUCAUUACUGUUAGCAAAUUAUGGCUAAAGUAGUUGUGCUAUUAGAAGUUGGACAAAAGAAAUUUUAGAGCCUUGAAGUAUUCAAGAGAUUUGAAAGAGUAGAGAUUAAGUAUAGGCCAUAUGCAAAAGAAAAUGUUGUGUUAUCUCAAGGGUCAAUAUAAAAACACAUACUAGUUUUCAAGAGGAAAGAAAAGUUGGAAACAAAUGGUUUAUUCAGAUUCCAAUUUUGGUAGAUUAUAUACUUCUAAAGUCAAUUUCUAGUUUUGCGUUUGUAUUAGAAUUGGAGGUGCAAUAUUAUAGACAAAUGUUAUGCAAUCAAUAGUUAUUUUUCUGUACUAUGUAUGUAUACUUAAUUCGUGGAUGUUGUGGAGCUCUAACGCAUGCAGGGUAGUUAAAGUUUUCUCCAUACCGGACGCCCUCAAUAUUUGCUAGAAAGAGGAAGAGUGAGGAAAUGAUAUACAAGUGUUGAUUAUAUUCACACUACAGAUAUGACUACAUAUAUAUUAAUAGAGUUAUUCCUCAGUUAGUUUCUUUAAAGCAUGUCACUAGAAUGGGAGAGUUAUCAAGCUUUAAAGAUGCCUAAAAUUAGUGGGAGCUAUUUUGCUUUUCAAUUAAAAAUUCAUGGAUAUGCAUUAAGGAUUGAUGUGUUUUAUUUCUAAAUACUUGUCAUUACAGCAAGCCAAUUUUGAAGAUUGUCUUUUCGACAUAAGGGCUUAUUUUAAGCAUUAAGGAAGAUCAUGUUGUGAUCGUAAAGAGGACCAUAUAUGUGUUUAGUGUGAUACUCACCCUUAAGCCUUAAGCACACUUAUCAUAUAUAUACGUUUGUCCACAACUUGUUGGUACUUUAUGUGAAUGUUGUUGCUUGUAUGUGAUUAUAGAGGUACACAUCCGCCAUAUUGGAUAUCGUAGUCUAUAGUCCUACGAGCUAAUGAUAUUUGACACUAAGUUUGAAUAGAUAUUGCUAUCAAAUAAUCUUCCAAAGUUGCGCGCAUCAAGAAAUUUAUUCAUGAUCCAAAGAGCUUCUUGAAUAGAUGUCACGUCCAAAGAGCUUCCUAAUUGUGAAACAAAUUCGGAGGUAAUUCUUCAUUCCAACUGACAAAGGAAAAAGAAAAUAAAGGAAAAGGCCAUUGCGAAGUGAAAUUCUCAUUCCUACACUAGUUGGUAACAUUAGUAAUAUUUCUCAUUCCUAUACAACUACGGGUUGUGUGAUGAGUUUUUUUUUUUAAUCAAACCUCGACUGUACGAGGGAUAUUUUAUUGAUAACGAAAAAAAGUUAUAUCUAGUCAGGGGUGGACAUAAACCUUACCCCUCAUAAUACCAAGAAAAGGAGAAAAAGAACAUGAAUAAGAAGGGGAGGACAUAAACCUUACCCUCUAGAGGGGGGGGACAUGAAACCUAACCCCUCUAAAGUCAAACCUAAAAGGUCUAAAACUUGCAAAACAAGUCAAACAAUAACACCACAAGGUUAGGAAAAAACAAGAAAUGAAGACAUACCUGCAUGGCGAGAUGCACAUUAGUUUGAGAAGUGGAAGCCAGGCAUGCCUACAUAGUCUGAAAACAAAGCAUCACGAGCGGGCGGGGGAGGGGAGUCAUGCCACACCAAAGUUGGAGAAAACAAGUCCAUGUUAGCAAAUUUAUUUGCAACAACAUUUCCUUCACGAUAUAUGUGAGAGGCGUAAAAGGCCAUAUUUCGAAUGUGGUCCAGACAAAUAGACAAUUGUGUACGAAGAGGCCAAGGAGGAUCAAAAUCGGUUGAUUGGAUAGCAGAAGAGUCACAUUCCAACCAAAGGCAAUGCUAACCCAGCUGAUAUGCAAACUUGACACAAUAAUAGUUGCUGAUAAUUUUGCAAAAAAUGAGUUGCAAUGACCAAUCCAUUGACAAAAACCACCAAGAAACUAACCAUGGCAAUCCCUAAAAACUCCUCCACAUAAAAUUAUAAAUGAAGUGUGAUGAGAAUAUAAGAAUCUAAUUAAGGUGAAUGGUGAGUUACAUUUUGGAUUUGUAUAACCAUCAAUGUUUCUAUGCUGAUUUCAUUAUUAUGUGAUUUUCAGUUAAAGACUAAUUUUGUUUUCCUAUCAUGUUCACUUAGAGGUGUUAUGCUAGAGUUGGAAGGCACUAUAGUGGUAGAAUUGCAAUCCGCUUGACAUGGAAAGGUAGUCUCCAUGCAACCACUCUAACCAAAUACUUUACUAAUGCUUUUCAACUAUUACAAUAAUAUUUGUGAUAUAUUUUUUUACGUCUUUUAGAUUUGUUUACCUUACGAAUGCAACGAUUAAGGUGUUACAAAUUUCGAGGACGAAAUUUAUUUGAAGGAGGGUAAAUUGUAAUACCCCGUAUUAAAAAAAAUAUAUAUGUAUAUGUGUGUGUGUGUGUGUGUGUGUGUCUAAGUAAUUAUUUUUAUUUCAAAUGUAAUAACUGUAUUGGAUUUCUUUAUAUACGUUAUGAGUACAAAAAAAACCCUCGUAUUUUUGGCAUGUAAGUUAGUAGGAAUUCUUUCACUACAAGAUUAAAUUAAAGCGUGGCUAGUACUUUUAAGGCCCCGCGUGACGAGUUUUGCCCGACUAUGCUUUUCUGACGAACCUAUGUCGGGUAAAGUUUCCAGCGAUGAGUCCUCCUUUUAGCCAACAAAGAUUUUCCCUCUGGCAAAGUGGUUUUUUUAUUUUUUAUUUUUUAUGUGUGUGUGUGUAGUGUGUACUGGAGAUAUGCAUGUAGCUGCUUGAAUUUAGUUGAUUGUUGUUAUCAUUCAUUAUUGUGUUUACACCUCUUGAGAAAAAUAAUUUAUGCAGGAUUUUUGCCCAAACGAUGUCUGAAUUUGCAUCACAUGUCAAGAGACAUGCUAGUUUGAUCAAAAUAGGGACUAGUAGUGGGGCCCACUUCACAUCGAACAUCACCGAUCGGAACCGUUUAUUUUUCAAGUUGCAUUUUAUAGAUUGUCCUUGCAAAAUAUUAGCCAAAUCGAAGAUGUUCGAGGCAUCUAGUUGAGUUCAAAGAAAUUGAAGAACACUAUGUUCCUUUUACACUAUUGGUACCUUCUACAACUCCAUAAAAAUCUGUUUGAAGCUACAAUAAAAAGAGAAAUUAUUGUUCGGCUUAACGAUUCACUGCCUUCGUCAGAACCCAAGAAUCACUUGUAAGCUACGGUUUGUAUUUUAAUUGUUUUAAUCAACACAACAGUUUGUACGGUUUGUGUUGUUGUCUUAAUCAUAAGCUAUAUGGUGUGGAAAAUGUGUGUAGCUCUCAUAAUCAACACACUAGUUGAUACUUGUGUAGCUUGUUGCUACAGUUGGUAUGUUUAGGUUAGAUAGUUUUCAUUGUUUUAGCAAGAAUAGAUUAUUUUGCAAUGCACACACUGUGUUUGUUGAAAGCCUAUGUGGUAAAUUUGCAUUUGGUGGUUUUGUUUUUUAUUAAGGUACGGCCAAUUAGGUUCAAUCGAUUCGGUACAGUCAGUUAGGUACGUAGGAUGUGAAGCACAGAUGGAAACAUUGUAAGUAGAAUAGGAUGUGAUGUGAAGGUGGGGGAUGAAAUCUCAUUGCAAAAUAAUGUAAUGUGCAUCGUAGCUAGGUAGGGAUUGAGGAUAUGGCCUAAAAUAUUUGCUGGCUGUGAAGUGCCAUCAUUUUUUUUAAUUUUUAUAUGGUCAUUUAGGUCUGGUCGAUUCGGUAUGAUCAGUUAGGUACGUUACUUAGGAUAGGUUCAAUCAUUUCGGUACAGUCAAUAAGGUACGGAAAACUUAUGUUUGAUUCCAAACAACACCUGAUGACUUAUAUUUGAUUCUGAACAACACCAGAUUAACCAUUGCUGCAAUUGAAAAGCUUAUAUAUGUUUGCUCAGUUCUCUGAGCUUGACAAUGAUUUUUACAACAAUGGGUUGCCUUCAAAUCCAACACCAAUCAACAAUCCUAGAUUGGAUUAAGGGUUCAAAAGCGUGGAAAUUGCCAGUCAAUAUCACAACAACUGUAGGUGUAGUUGACGAUGAGUAAUAAAACUAAAAUCACCAAAAAAAACAUAGUUCUAUCGAUUUCAGGUUCAGUAUAUAGAAAAGAAGCGUGAACAUCAUCAUCAGCAGAGAAGGAGGAAAAAACUUCAUUGCCUCCAAAGAUGGGGGAUGCCAUUGUAACCGAAAGAGGAGAGAUGUGAAGAAUCAAUACAUACAAAACAUUAAAACAUUGAUUUGUACCCAAGGGUAACUAGGGAAACUAAAACUACAAUAAUUCUAUAAAAAAUUUGAUUAAAUAUGACAUGGAAUACUAGAAUCUGACGUGGAGGACUAUUUUUAAUUUUUAAUCUUCCAUACGGUAUUACUGAAAAAAUAAACUUAUUUAGGGAUUAAAAUGAAUUCUAAAUAAGUAUAUACUGUUCUCUUGUUAAGACCAUUUAAUAUGUUAUCCUAUUAAAUCGUUAACAAGAAUAUUUAGACAUGACCAUACACCAUCUAUAUAUAAAACAAGAAUGUUCCAAGUGAUGAUUUGGAUCUUCCUCUUACACGUAAACGAGUACUUAAUUAAGUUUUAGAAUAAUUAAUACAUGUUACCAUCUCAAGCCAAAAAUCAAUAAGAAAUAACGGGUGCGAAGUAGCAAAGGUUUCUGAAUUUUACCCCAUGUUUAAUCUUCGUCCCUAAACUCUAUUAAUUUUUCUCAUCUUCCAACUUAACUAUGUUUUAUAUGAGUAGUCCUUUUCGUCAAAUUUAAAGGUAUAAUGGUAUUUUCAUACAACAACAAAAUCUAAAUUAUUUAAAAAGAGAAUAGCUUGGCUCCUUAAGGUUAAGGAGGAGUUCCUCCUCAAAAGACUUCGUGGCCUAUUCACAAAAUUUCAUGCUUAUGAUCGGAACCGUUCAUAUUAUAGAUCACUAUGUAAAGAUCAUCUCUGCAAAAAAUAAAUUAAAACUAAAAUCGUUUAGUCAAUCCUUAAGGAGUUUUGAUCAGAAGCUCGAAGUUCUGUAAAUAGAUCACAAGUUAUUUUAAUGAGAAGUUCCUCCUCAAUCCUUGAGAAGCCAAGUCUUGUCUUUCUCUCUCUUUUUGUUUUUGUUUUUUUUUUUUUAACAAACAAUACUAUCUACAUUAAGGGAGAGUAAGCCUCACAAUGGACUAGCAAUAAUGUGGCUCAAAUUCGCCUUUUGUGAGAAUCGAACCUAAGACCUCUCAUUUACAAGUGAAGAUAAAUACCACUUAGACUGUAGUACUAAGUGACAAGUCUUUCCCUUUAAAAACUUCAUUUUUUUUUUUGGAUGAAACUCCUUUUUUUUUAUAAUGAAAUUCCUAUUUUAUCUCUUAACUUAAUGGAAAAGUUGACAGAGUUAACGAAAAAGACUACGCAUGUGACCCUUUAACACAGUGGUGGAAAAGAGUUGAGCCCUUGCAUGAUGAAGUGGGUUCGAACUCCGUUGGUGGCUAAUCUAAUAUCUAAUCUAAUAAAAAUCUAUUGUUUGACAAGAAAAAAAAAACGAAAAUGACUACUAGUGCAUCAAAUGACAUAAUUGGAGGACGAGGGAAACUAUUAGCAGAGUUCAGGGACGGAAACUAAACAUGUGAUAUAGCUCAAUGACCAUUGCUACAAUUUAGUCAGUAACAAUUAUUAUAUUUUUUUAAGAAGAAACAACUUGUUUAGGGAUAACUAUAAGGGAAAUUUUAUUUGAACCCAUAUUUUGUAUCUCAACACCCAUCUUACUUUCUAUACCCACAUUGUAUUUGAUUUAUCUAUCAUUAUCUCUUUACACCCAACAUUAUUUUCGAAACCGCCCUUACUUAUCAAAACUCAACUCAAUCAAACUUUGUUUUACACCCAACUCAAUCUACUUAAAAAUAAAAAAUAAAACCCUAACUAGUCCAUCAUCUCCAUGGAGCAAAGUCCCUUCUCUCUCUAAAAAAUCCUUCCAUCUCCUAUAAGUGUCAUUCUGCACCCCAUCUACUCUUGCGUAGUCAUCCAAACCUCUUCCUCUUGCUUUUCUUAAUCAUUUGACAUCUCUAAAUUUCUAGAGCACUAAUUAGCUUAAUAAUUGGUAUGUGUUCAAUCGAUUGGUUCAAUUUUUACGUAUUAAUUCCUUUUUCUUUUCAAUUAAAUGAGCUUCUGGUUAGAGUGUUUAAUGAGUUGGUAUGUUUUACUUAAUUGAGAAUCUUCUAGACUCUAUAUUCCUAUCUAUGGUAGAUAAAUGGGUACGUCCAUGAUAACUUUUGGUAGAUCAAUGAAUAUUUUUAACCGUGGAUAUAUAUAUAUAUAUUUUGUCGAAACCGUGAAUAUUUAUUAGAUACAAAAGUUGCGGACAACAAUUCACAUUACAUUGAACUGUGGCUAAAAAGUAUAUCGCCUUUGCACGUUUUAAGGGCGAACUCAUAGCUAAGCAGUUUUUAUUAAGGAGCAAAACUUCGGGAAUUGAUCUAACCUGGGUGUGUAAUUGAGUUUAUGCAUUUUGAUGAUUAAACUGAUAAAUAUUUCAACCACAUAUGGAUUUAAUAUCAUAGUAUCUUUUAGCUUCUAUAUGCCACAAAAGUUGCGGACAAAAAUUCACAAUACAUAGAAUUGUGGUAAAAAAGUAUAUCGCCUUUGCACGUUUUUUAGGUGAACUCAUAGGUAAGCAGUUUUUAUUGUUGACCAAAACUUCGGGAAUUAAUCUAACUUGAAUGUAUAAUUGAGCUUAUGAAUUUUAAUGAUUAAAUUCAUAAAUAUCUCGACCACAUAUUGUGAUAGCCCGUCCCGAACUAUUAUCAAUUAUGGCAUGAAAAGACUAUUUUACCCUUGGUCGUUAAUUUUGUUGUGUGGUGGUGUGGUUUAAGUUUAAGUUUUAGGACUUAAGUCUUUAUUUGUUGUGGUUGGUAGCCCAAAUUAGGACCACACACACACACACCCAAAGCAACCCCGUUGACCCUUCUCUCUCUCCUCUCUCGGUUUUCUUCCUUCGUCCGUACGAUUUGUACGGUCAACUCCAAACCAACUUAUUUCUUCACAGAUCGAGCUCAUAGUUAGCACUAUCAUCUUCAUCUCAUCGUCACGAGUCCAUCCAUACCUGUUUCAGAACUUGAAACCGUCGAAAACCCAAGACCCAAAAGACCCAAUCUUGAGCAUUGUUCAUGCACACGUAAAUGUGGUGUUUUUAGAAGAUUUUAAGGUUAUAGGAAGCUUUAAAACACUCUCACGAAGCUCGGAGAAGAAAGUUGAGGGUUUUUGGACGUCGGGAAGCUCGAGUUGUAGAGUUGGCCGGUUUUCUUAAAUUUCUCCGGCGAGAUCCCGUUGGUUUUAGGUUCCAAAAGAGGUAAGAAUGUGUUCUACUCAUCAUAAGCUUCAUUUUGGUAUAAAUUUCAUGAAUUUUGGUUGAGAAAUGGAAGAGAUAUGAAGAUUUGAAAAUUUUCCAGUUUCCGGCGAGUUGUAGAAGGCGGUCUCCGACGAGGUCCAUCGGAGAAGAAGGGAGAAUAUUCCGUCAAAGUUGACGGAAUAUUCCUAACGGCGACUGACGGCGUCAGGUUAGUUUUAACGGAAUAUGCUAUUAUUUUGACUGAAUAUUCCUUAACGGCAAUUAGGAUUCCAUCAGGGUUGGCCGAGCGUGGGGGCGCGUAGGGCCGUGCCCUUGCCAGCGCGUGGGGCAUCAAAAAAAAUUUCUAAAAAUAUUGGGAUGUUCCUGAGGUUGAGUAGAUCACGGUGGUAUAUUCAUAUACCCAAUUUGAGCAAUAUAUGAGAAGUUAUUACUUAGUUUUGUGUAUGUGCUUUAAAUGACGAUUAUAUAGUUGUUUCGCAUAUAAGUGAGACCUAUCCAGAGGACGAGCAUAAUCAAUCAAGGCUCGAGGGCUACGACCCUUCGACCUACCAAUGAGUGGGCUUUUGGUUUUCAGUAUAUAUAUAUAUAUAUAUAUAUACACACUUGAUGUUUUUCCCAGAAAACGUAUUAAAAUGAAAUGUGUUUGAAAUGUCAUGUCAUACUUUCAUUGUACUUUAGUAUAUGCAUUAGUAUAAAUAUGCAUAAUGUUGCAUGAUGCUGCGGAGGCCCAGGUAAGCCACAGGUGAGUACAUUAUGAUGUUAGUGAUUGUGAAUGGAAUGAUGAUGUUGAGAUAUAUUUGAGUUCAUAAACCUGCACCCCAGUGUUAGUGCUCCCGCCAUGGUUAGGGCACAUUCCUUCACCACUAUAGGUGGUUCCGACUCGUAGGUGACCCGCGAUUUAUCGCACAGUCUUCACGUGAUCGUAGCACUAGAGCGUAUUUAUUUACACCCAGUCCUGUCGUACAGACCACUAGAGGUGGUUCCGACUCGUGUGCAGGUAUACUUGUUGAGAUACAUGAUUAAGUUAUAGAUUGAGCCGUACAGGUCACAUGAGGUGACUCCAACUAGAUAGAUGAGCUCUAGAUUUCGCCGUACAGGUCACGUGAGGUGACUCCGGCUAGAUUGGUUAUUUGCAUUAGUAUUCACACCUGGCUUACUUAUGUUAUAUUGUGAUUUUGGACAUGGCAUAUCCAUAGCAUGCACAUAAGUGGAUUUUGAUAUACUGAGCAUGGUUUUUGAGAUACGUAUGUAUUCUAUUUUCUGGGAAAUUAUACAGGUUUUACGGCGAGGGGUUAGAACUUUUGAGAAUGAAAUGAUUUUGAAAAGCUUUGUUUUUGCCCACUCACGCUUUCUGUUUUUCGUCCCUCCAGGUUCUAGGUAGGAAAUCCUCGUUGGUGGCAUUGCGAGGGUUUCAAGAUAGUUCUGACAGACUACCAAAUGUAGGAUCACCUUCGGGUGUUGUUUAAUUAGUACUUUAUCCUACUUGACUGCAAUUAGGCUACUUAUGCUCUCGUUGUGUAUUUCACACUUAAUAUCGCUCUAGUACUGCUAGUAACUUGGUUUAAUUAUUCCUAAUUCUCUAUAUCAUUAUUGCUUCCGCACGGUGCACAUGGUUACGUCACCCUCACGUGACGGCCAUCAUGCCUAGAUUUCGGUCGGGGUGUAUCACAUAUGAAGUUAAUAUUGUAGUAUCUUUUAGCCUCUAUAUUGGUAUCUGUGGCAAAAAAAUGGGUAUCUCCAUGAGAAAAUUUUGUAGAUCGAUGAAUAUUUUCAAUUUGAAUAUUUAUUAGAUACCAAAAAUUAUAAGUCUAUUCGCAAAAGUGUAAGUCAAUGCCAAGUACAAUAUUUGUUAAGAUAUAUUUAGGGAACUGUUAGUAGCACUCCAAAAAUCUUAUUCUACACUUUGCACAAGUGUAUUUUUCUUUCUAAUUAUAGAAAGUUUGGAGUGCCAAAUGAGAUUUUUGGAGUGCUAAUAACAAUUUUCUAUAUUUAUAUACAUUUUAUUUUAGUUUGGAAGUCGACUUCCUUUUUUUUUUUCCUUUAUCAAGUUGGGAGUAUCAAUGACUGUGACCAUGUGCAACUAGUUGUUGAUUCGUUUUGAAUAAUCAACAUUAUUUCUUACAAUGUCUUGGGCUUAUAAAUAACAGAAGGAAAACCGUCAUGCAUGAAACAUACACAUUUGUCCCUUCAUGCGACAUGGUUAUAAGCAAACAUCAUGCAUUUACUAAUACUAUUCCAAGUCAUGCAUGAAACCUAUACAUUGUCCCUUCAUGCCACUUGGCUAUAAGCAAACAUCAUGCACAAGUAGUUUACUAAUUAGUAUUACUAAUAUUAGCUUGUAUCAUGACCGUUUUCUUUUUGUUAUUCAUAUGCCCAAGACAUUGUAAGAAAUAAUGUUGAUUAUUCAAGACAAAUCAACAACUAGUUGCACAGGGUCAUAGUCAGUGAUACUCCCAACUUGAUAAAGAAAGAAAAAAAAAAGGAAGUCGACUUCCAAACUAAAAUAAAAUGUAUAUAAAUAUAGAAAAUUGUUAUUAGCACUCCAAAAAUCUCAUUUGGCACUCCAAACUUUCUAUAAUUAGAAAGGAAAAUGCACUUGUGCGGAGUGUAGAAUGAGAUUUUUGGAAUGCUAAUAACAGUUCCCUAAAUAUGUCUUAACAAAUAUUGUAUGUGGCAUUGACUUAGACUUUCGUGAAUUGACUUAUAAUUUCUGGUAUCUAAUAAAUAUCCAGAUUGAAAAUAUUCAUAGAUCUACAAAAUUUUCUCAUGGAGGUACCCAUUUUUUUGCCACAGAUACCAAUAUAAAGGCUAAAAGACAAUACGAUAUUAAAUUCAUAUGUGGUCGAGAUAUUUAUGAAUUUAAUCAUUAAAAUGCAUAAGCUCAAUUAUACAUUCAAGUUAGAUCAAUUCCCGAAGUUUUGGUCAACAAUAAAACUACUUACCUAUGAGUUCAUCUAUAAAACGUGCAAAGGCGAUAAACUUUUUAACCACAGUUCUAUGUACUGUGAAUUUUUGCCCGCAACUUUUGUGGCAUAUAGAGACUAAAAGAUAGUACGAUAUUAAAUCCAUAUAUGGUCGAAAUAUGUAUCAGUUCAAUCAUUAAAAUGCAUAAACACAAUUACACAUUCAGGUUAGAUCAAUUCCCGAAGUUUUGCUCCACAAUAAAAACUGCUUAGCUAUGAGUUCGCCUAUAAAACGUGCAAACGUGAUAUACUUUUUAGCCACAGUUCAAUGUAAUGUGAAUUGUUGUUCGCAACUUUUGUAUCUAAUAAAUAUCCACGGUUAAAAAUAUUCAUUGAUCUACCAAAAGUUAUCAUGGACAUACCCAUUUUUCUACCACAUAUAGGAAUAUAGAGGCUGGAAGAUUCUCAUUUAAUUGAAACAUACCAAACUCAUACCAAACUCAUCUAAUUAGUGCUCUAGAAAUUUAGAGAUGUCAAAUGAUGAAGAAAAGGAAGAGGAAGAGAUUUGGAUGACUACGGAGGAGUAGAUGGGGGUGCAGAAUGACAACCAUGGGAGAUGGAAGGAUUUUUUUUAAAGAGAGAGAGAAGGGGAUUUGUUCCAUGGAGAUGAUGAACUAGUUAGCGUUUUAUUUUUUAUUUUUAAGUAGAUUGAGUUGGGUGUAAAAAGAAGUUUGAUUGAGUUGAGUUUUGAUAAGUAAGGGCGGUUUCGAAAAUAAUGUUGGGUGUAAAUAGAUAAUCAUAGAUAAAUCAAAUACAAUGUGGAUAUAAAAAGUAAGCUGGGUGUUGAGAUACAAAAUAUGGGUUCAAAUAAAAUUUCCCUAACUAUAAUGGGGCGCCAGGUUUAAUUCACAUGUUUUAUUUCCCUAAAAGCAGAUCACAAAAAGCACUCUAAUUAAAAAUUUCACAUGAAUUGCCACUUAGUACUACGGUUUAGUAGUAUUUUUCUUCACUUGUAAGUGAGAGGUCUUAGGUUCGAUUCUCGCCAAAGGCAAAUUCGAACCAUAUUAUUGCUAGCCCAUUAUGAGGCUUAGCCCACUCCCCCACCCCCUUAGUGUAGAUAAUAUCGUUAGUUAAAAAAAAUCACAUGAAUUAAAAUUAAAUCCCCAUUGACACCAAUUUCAUGAAAUUGGAUUAAAAAGACCAACACGGAAGACAUUAAAACAAUGAAUUAAAAUUUAAAAUUAAGGAUCCCCCCACUCACAAGUUUUUUAGUUAGUACUCUUUAUCACUAAUGUGACAUUAAUUUUCACUCUACAAGUAUCGUAAUCAAAAUUAUUCACUCACUUAUCAUCUUUCAAUAAAAAAGUUCAAAUGAUUUGGAGACUGUUUAGUUUGUCAUGAAUCAAAGAUAUGAGAGUUCAUCAUGGUGAUGCUACUUAUUAGCGUAAUCGUUGAUUUGUUUGACUAGGAUAACUAAAUAGUCUCUAAAUCAAAUAAAUAUUUCCAGAGAUGAUCUUUUGAUGAUCAUAAAGAAAAUGAAUAGCUAUAAUAAUGACGUUGGUAAACUAAAAUGAUGUCACAUUUUGAAAUUAAUGAGGACUUUCUUCUUUACUAAGAAUGAGGGAAGUAAAUAUUAUCCUUUCUUUUGGUCGUAAGGGAAGUAUCCUUGAAACUAAGGAAUCAAAUUGGGAAAAUUAAGGACCAGAACUGAAAACAAACAAAAUAUAGUGAUAAAAAGUAGGAUCCAACAUCUUUUAUCGAAUAAUAAUAGUAGUUCACUAAUGACCAUAGGAACCACCAACGACCACUAUAUUAUUUUAUGACAUGAAUUUUCUAAAUUCACACGAUGGGGGAAGAAUAGAAUCAGUUGUUGCAAUUGUCUACAAUAUUAAAUAAGAACAACAAAAUAAAAUGAUGUAUUUGUUUAGCUUGGUUGGUUAGCCAGCCAGCAGGCUUAGUGCGCAUACAAAUUUCAAGUAUUUUUUAUUUAUCAACAAGUGUAAGGCUGAUAUCUCUAAUCUAAAACUCAAGAGUUAAAAAUUAUAAAGCUACAUUUAAUUUCACAUGCCGUGGUGUAAGUUAUAUUAUUUCCAAUGCAUACGGAGUUAUUCAAUGUUAAAAAUAUUCUCUUUUUCUCCCCGACCAUCUCUCUUAAAAUCAAAACCUAGAUCUACAAGUUUUAAGCUUAAUACUCGUUAUUUUGACACUUUUUCAAUAAAAUAUAUAUAAUUCACUUUUCCUAUACGUAUUUUUCACAUAUUAUCCAGGAAAUAAAAUACUAAAAUAAAAAAAUGACCGAAUUUGUAAAAGUUUAGCAAACUUGUCGAAUAAUACACAUAUGUAUGUUUCACGUACUAUACUCGUACCUUAUUUAUAUUUGUAUUUAAAACAAAAACGCCAAUAAUUAACUCAAUAUAUUGAAAGACCUAAUUCACAAACAUCGUUUUAUUUUCCACUAAUUUGUCUUGCUUUGUUAGUGCUUAAUAACGUACUUAUUCAUCAAAGCAAGCAAGGAAGUAAUCGCUUAAGUAACUUAGCAUAAAGAUUUGCUUUCGAAAAGCCCACAACCAGUAACAAAGUUGGAAUUUUCCCCCACCGCAAGUUGUGUAAACUCAUGUGUUGCAAAUUAACCUACUGCAUGGAAGAUUUACUCCAGCAAUUGACAAUUUUUCCCCCUCACGUACGUGAUUGAUUACUAUUUCUUAUAAUAAAUGCAAUGCAUGACCACAUAUUUUUGACAAUCUUCGUGCACAAUAAAAAAAAAAAUUCUUGACAUUUACUAUGGAGUGGUAGUAUUCCCAAAUGGCCAUUUGGUCAAGUAAAAUUCAAUCUUCAUUUGUUGGAAAAGGUUUAUUAGUUCAAAUCUCAUAGCCGAUAACAAUUCAAUAAAAACCAAUAGAAACCUGAAACUUAAGGCCAAAGGUUCAUUAAUAAGAUCAUAAAUGCAAAACUAAAUAUUUCAUAAAUUGGAGAUUUUUUUCGGUGUUACUCGAAACACUGCCGUAGUGUUACAAUUCGACUCAAACUAUAACAUGUGUAAUAAUAUACUUUAAAAGUGAGAUAUAUCAACCAUGCUGCCUUCACUUAUAACACGUGAAAAAGUACAAUGCACAGCAGUGUUUUACAUACAUAGGAAAGUUCUCCAAUGAGUCAAUAACAAUCACCCUAAUCUAUUACAACUUGAGCUAGAGUUGAUGUACACAAAUCUAACUAACUUUGAGUUUUUAGAAUUUAUUGUAAUGUUAAUCUUGAGCAUCUAAUUCAUUGAAGGCGGGACAAGAAAAUAAUUCAAAUUAAGUUAUGUCAUAUACAUUCUUAAUUAAGAGUACGAAGCCAAUGCAAAAGUUAAUCUAUAAUGUAAUGUCGUCCAGUUUCAAGCACACAGCUAUGGAAUCCUCAUUUGUCCCGACUUUGGUUCAAGAAGCCAAUAUACCUCUAAUUUAUAUUCAACUUAAUUCUCAAUGUGUAAUUUGAGUAAUUUCCUGGAUUAGGACGCGUGAUCCAACAAUAUCAAGGUUUCACUAAAAUUAAAAAAAAAAACGACUGCAAAUGAUUAGACUAUAUUAAUAUAUAACAUGUUGCAUUAUGCUACAUAUAUUAUUAAUUAUUCCACGCAGGCAACCGCAAAUAGAAGGCACCACUUGUAAAUUAGGAGAACAUAUAUAGCAUGAGUAUUGUGGAGCCAAAAAUAUUCACAAGGCGACACGUGGAUUUUUAGAUAAAAGAAGAUAAAAAUAUCCUUGAGGCAUACCGGGAUUCCUACGCACGAGCAGCGGGCAAUCAUCCGUUAACCAAGUCAAAAAUGCCCAAAGAAGGUAACAAAUAAAAGUUAUUUCAUCCAUAUACUCCACAAGGUAACCAUUCCAAAUAUUCCAUUUAAAUUAGAUUAAUUGGUGAGUUAAUGGAUUUAUUUCCUAAUUAAUCCAUUAAAUCACCAAUUAAAUGACCCAUUAUGCCAAUUAAUCCCCCAUUACAUAACCCAUUACCCAAAAAAUCCCAAAUGGCUGGCCACCCUAGUUGAUCUCAUCAUAUUCACCUAUUUUAUCGCAUUAGUUAGCUAGUUAAUUUGGCAAUAAUUUUAUUUGCUAAAUUAAUUAGUCAAUUAUUCCCAUAACUCCUAAAUUUAACCUAAAUCAAGAACCCUAUCCCUAUAAAUAGGCUCUCAUUCUCACCAAAAACCUAAUUCCAACACUUUGGCAAAAAUCCCAAAAUUCUCUAAACACUCUUUCUCUCUAAAUUCUAACUUUGGCAUCGGAGGUUCUUCAGCCAAAGCCCCCCCAUUCAUCAUGGGCGCGUGAGGCUCUUGGCCUUAACCUAAGGUGUUGAUUGUUUUGUAGGUGCAAAAUUGUCCAAGAUCAAGGAGGAAGAAAUUUGCAUCCACAGGUAUAUUGUUAUGAUGACGUUCUAAAAGGGUGAUUCUUAGCCAACAUAGUUUUCUGCUUUGUGAGGGUCGGGAAGAAAUGUCUAUUGUACGCAAUUUUACCCUUGCUUUGUAAAGAAAUUGUUUCCACGACUCAAACCCGUGACCUUUUGGUUACAAAUGAGCAACAUUUAUAUUGCACUAAAGCUCACCUCAUUCAAUAAAAUAAAAUUAUGUAGUUUUAACUCACAUAUCCUUUUUUUCAUAAGGAAAACUAAUGAAAAGAACUUGAAAACUUUGAAUUUUAACGAUAAGGACAAAAUAAAUGAUAAAGUGAAUAGUAUCAUGAUUGAUUUUUUAGUGUAAAAAUGUGAUUUUUCGUUAAAAUGAACCGUAUCGGGAGCUUUUCGUUAAAGUUCCCUUUUUCAUAAGCACAAGAUACCGUGAAAGUGUAUUCGUGGUAGUCGUUCUCAUGAAUUAGCCUUCUUUUAUUGGCAGCACCCUUUUUUGAUUAUUCCCUCUCUCAACUUUCGUCUCUCUUGUAGUUGAAACAUAGAUAUACAUAUGAAGAGAAACAUCUUCUCAAUCAACGCAGACCAAGUUCAUUUGCCCCCCCCCCCUCUCUCUCUCUCUCUCUCUCUCUCUCUCUAAACUGUUAUUUGCAUAAGGAAAAAUAUGGUAUACUAUCAGAGAUACAAGCAGAGGAAAAAAAGGUGAACAUCUUACAGAAGAAGAUGAAGAGUGUCAGAGCAUUAUUAUGGGGUCUUCAAACUCUGGUUACUACAAAAGAACAAGGCCCAAGCUUCUCUCUUUCGUCUUUCUCUCUCUCCUCUCUUGCAGCUUCAUAAUUAGCACCUCAUCUUUUCUACCCUAAUGCCACUUUCUCUCUAUUACGUAAGCUUUUAUCUCUAGUUUCUCAUUUUCAUUUUUUCAUUUUUCUUUCAGUUUCCUUUAAUUGUAUGCUGAGAUUAUAUAAUAACCCUAUGUAAACCCUAGCUUGUACCCAGAUUAUAUAGAACCCCAUGCAUAAACCCUAGCUUAUAUAGUACCCAGUUGGGUCUCUUCACCUAUAUGCACUUGAUUUUAGUUGGAUGUUCUAACUCUUUCAUGGUAUGAGAACCAAGCUAACCACGUAUCAAACCAUCAGUUUAUUAGAAUACAUGAAGUGUCCUUAUCCCCUCUCCCCGUCUUCAAGUACCCUUUUUCGAUACAUGGUAUAGUCAUUGAAAAUCAAAUGAUUUUCGGAUUAUUCAACUCCGUUUGUGUUGUCCACGUUAUUGGCUUGAAGAUCACCACACGUUAGGGAACGUGUUAAGAAUGAAUCUCACAUUAAUGAGAGAAUGUGAGCUUAUAAGUAAGUUGGGUUACUCCUCAUAUUGUCAAUUGAUUUUGUGAUGAAACCUCAAAUUGCUUCAACCCUUCGUCUUUCAAAACAUUCACAAUAUUUUUGAGUUAUCUCACAUAGUGAAAAGUAAGCCAUGCACAAUAAUAUAGAUAGACUCUAUAUCUAUUGCUGUUUGAUUUUAAGUUGAAUGCUCUAAUUUUUUUUUUCCACUAUAUUCACGAAUAAAUAUGUACCCUUUGGUUUUGUAGGCCUUGCUGCUGACGAUAUGGUUGCAUAUGCUCCCUCGAGUUCUUCAAUCUCUAACGGUAGAAUUCUCUGCUUCUCAGUGGCUUCUAUUUGGAAUCGAUUAAUUGUUUGUGUUUUAGUUGUUAAUAAAUACCUUGCAAAGUUUACCAGACAGUAUUACUAUCGAUUAAUUGGUUUGAAAAAAAUCGUUUGCAUCAGAAGGCUGGUUAUAAGGCUUAGAAGGUAAGAAAAUUAGAAAAUUGUUAGCAUAAACAAGUCUUGAACUGAUCAUGACUUGCGAGUAACUUUAAACUACACUCCACCUAUGAAGCAUAUACUCUAUAUAGUACUAGCAGACAACAAAUAAAUAGCUGAAAUUUCAGGAUGGGCACUAGCCUAUUCUGGCCUUCAUGUAGCUCCUCCCCCGGUUGCGAUGAUACUCGAAUUGAUACUGCAAAAACAAUAAAAUACGGAACUAUUAUUGUUAUUUAAAAAAUAUUAUUCUACAUUAAUUUUUUCUUGUAUAUUUUUUCCUUAUGUUUUCAUAGAUGACGAGUGCAAGACAAUAUUUUUUUACUGAUAACAACUCCUAGUAAAACAACGUAAAAAUAUAACAUAAAAACAAUAUUGAUAAUAUUCCUGAAAUUCAAAAUUAGUUUUUAAUCUGUUCUAGUCUUUUCAACAAGCAAGCUGGGUCUGCUAUCUCUCUUUCCUUAUGGAACUCAUACGGGGUGAGUGGUCAAUUCGAACCCAGACCCUACGUUCUAAUUAUUCUAAUUAAUUUAGUUAAUAUAUAGUUAAUUCAGCUCCAGUUGAACCGCCACAAUUUUAUAUCGUCCAUGGAUCAUCAGGUUGAAGUCAAAUGAAUGGAGCCUGCAAGUUAAGCAUGUAAGAUGUAAUCUGAAAAUCAACAAGUUACUAGGAUCACAAAUAUAACAAAUAUAACUACAAUAAACCAAUCAAACAAUUAAAGGGAAAUAAACUUAUCUUCCAAAGCGGAGGAAGAAGAAGCUAUGACUGCUAGGGUUUCAAGGAGGAACUAGGUUCAAGAAUACAGCAGGACACGUAAAGCAGCAAGCCGUGGCACUGCGUGUGCAAUCCGACUUCUCCAUCUUCUUCAACUGUCACAUGGAACCAUACCAAGACACCCCUCUACACACAACCUUCUCCUCUCUGCAAAACUCAAUGCUCUCCAAGUUAUAGGUAAUUGGAACGAUAAGAGCGCACAACCUUCUCCUCUCUGCAAAACUCAAUGCUCUCCAAGUUAUAGGUAAUUGGAACGAUAAGAGCGCCCUUUUGUGAGAGCAGGGGCUUGUGGUUUUUAUACUACAAAAUCUGGAUUACCCUAUAAUAAUCCUACAAGGAAUACAAGACCAAAUCCUUGUACAAGUAUGAGUUCUAUUCUCAAGCCAACAGUAGAGUUUCAAUCCAAACCAAAGUUGAAUUAACUCUUAUAAACACAUUAAGACCUCUUUAUACCAAUCUGAAAUAACAAUGAUUAUUACUAAACUGUGAGAAUCACACUCAUACUCUAACAAAGCAUGCUUGCUUGUUGAACCCCGCAACCACUUAAAAAUUUGUGAUAAAUAUGAUUUAUGUAUUCCUAAUUUUCUAAGUUUUGAUAGACCUAAAGCCAAAUCUAAUUUUUACGUCACUUAUUAUAACUGUAGUCUAAUGGUAUAUUUUUCUACUUGUUAUAAGUAGAAAGAUUUUAGGUUCGAUCCUAAACUAACACUAAAUUAUUAUAGAUGACCCAGUUGUAUGGCCUCACCCAAAUAUCCAAAGUUUUAGUGUAAAUAAUAUCAAUGUUUUAAAAGUUAAUUGAGUACACUUAUUUUCUGUAUGUGACACUUUUACAUUUUCUCUAUCUGCAAUUACUUUCACUAACUAUAAAUGUUGUGGGUGCAGGAACUAUAUUUUGUGACAGGAGCAGUUUUCGAUCAGAUGUUUGUAUCCUGAAAGGGGAUGUAAGAACACACUCCGGUUCCUCUUCCAUCUUUGUCUACAGAUCCAGAGAUAAAAGUAAUUUCACAAAUUAUUUAUCGAGUAUCGUCGAGGAAAACGAAGAGGAAAAUGAGGAACAGCUUCACCGCGAAAAGAUCAAACCGUAUACCCGGAAAUGGGAACCAAGUAUCAUGGACACCGUCACAGAAUAAGACCUCAUUGCAAAGACAGAUGGCACUCCAGGAAAGCAACAUGAGUGUGAUGUCCAACGUGAGGUUCCGGCCGUAUUCUUCUCGACGGCGGGCUAUACCGGUAAUGUUUAUCAUGAAUUCAACGAUGGUAUUAUGCCGCUGUACAGUACUUCUCAGCAUUUGAGGAAACAGGUUGUGUUUGUCAUCGUUAAUUUUCACAAUUGGUGGCUUAUGAAAUAUGGAGACAUUCUUUCACAACUAUCAGACUAUCCAGUAAUUGAUUUCAGUGCAGACAAGAGAACUCAUUGCUUUCCCGAAGCUACUGUCGGUCUGCAAAUUCACGAUGAGCUCACUGUGGAUUCUUCAAAUAUGGAAGGAAAUAAGAGCAUAUUCGACUUUCGAAAUCUUCUAGACGGGGCUUACAGUCCUCGAGUUACAAGUCUGAUUCACGAACGAGAAGCAAAAGAGAAACUCUCCGUUUCUAUGUCUCCCGCAUCGAAAAGAUCCUUAAAAAUCAAGAGAAAAGUACAUGAAGCACAUCAACUCAAGAGGCCUAGACUAGUGAUCAUAUCUAGAAAUGGAUCAAGAGCGAUAACCAAUGAGCAUUUGCUGGUGAAAAUGGCUGAAAAAUGGGGUUUGAAGUUGAAGUUCUGAGACCUAAUUCGAGGACCGAGUUGGCAAAGAUUUAUUGCGUUCUUAAUUCGAGUGAUGUCGUGAUCGGGGUUCACGGUGCUGCCAUUAGACCUGGCAUUUUGGACCCGACCCGACCCGACCCGUUAAUAUUAGUAUUUGGAUGGAUGCUUAACAGGUCGGGUCGCUAACGGGUGAACCCGUUAACAACCAGUUAAAUAACGGGUCACUUUGGGUCAACCCGGUAGCACCCGUUAGUUGAGGAUGCUUUAGUAAUUUUAGUAAAGUCUUAACAACAACAAAUAAACUUUAUGCAAAAAAAAAUAAUAAUAUUUGUUAACGGGUUGUUAACGGGUGUUAACGGGUGACCCGUUAGCUUAACGGGUCGAGUUCGGUUGACCCGUUAACUUAAUGGGUCGGGUUGAACCCAACUCAAACCCAAUAAACUCUACCCGUUUACAGGUCUAGCUGCCAUGACACAUUUGUAGAAACUCUAUGUUCUUGUAAGAGAGAGAGAGAAGAGAAGAGAGAGAGAGAGGUUUCUUAAGAAUUAAGAAAUCUAUGACUUUUCAUUAAUUGAACAAAUGAAUAAUACAAUUAAAUAUAUAUAGUCCUUGUGACUAUCUACAUUUGGCUAUCUAAACUAACCAAAUAAACCAACUAAUUACAUGAGUAACAAACUUAUAACAAACAACUUUAGCUAUGAUAUAGCAUCUUCAUCUUUACACCCCCUCAAGCUAAACUUGGAAGAAUCAAUAAGUCCAAGUGAGAGCUUGGAUUGCAGAAACUGAAACUUGUUUUUAGACAAGGCUUUGGUAUGAAUAUUUGCAAGUUGAUCCUGACUGCACACAUACUUAACUUCAACCAGAUUUGCAAGUACUAACUCACGAAUAUAAUGAUAAUCAAUCUCUACAUGCUUAGUGUGAGCAUGAAAUACAGGAUUAGAUGCAAGAGAUAUAGCAGAGAUAUUAUCACACCAGAGAGUAGGUUUGUGAGAUAGAGGAAAACCAAAGUCUUUGAGCACCUUGCAGAUCCAAGUAACCUCUGCAGCAGUGUGAGCUAAGGAUCUGUAUUCAGCUUCAGUAGAGGAACGUGCGACUGUUGAUUGUUUCUUGGCACUCCAGCUAACUAAGUUGGUGCCCAGGAAAACACAUGAACCACUAGUGGAUCGUCAGUCAUAAGAGCAACCAGCCCAAUCGGCAUCAGAGUAGGCUGACAGAUGCAGGGAGUUUUCUUAAACAAUAAACCAUGAGUGAUAGUCACUUUGAGAAACCUCAAUAUACGUUUGGCUACUUGCAUGUGAAGAACAGUAGGUGCAUGCAUAAAUUGACAGAUUUGGUUUACUGCAAAAGAAAUACCAGGUCUUAUCCAAGUUAAGUAUUGGAGAGCACCAACAAUCGAUCUGUAUUCAGUAGGAUUGGCAAGUAACUCCCCACUAUGAUCUAAUUUGGUAGAACUAAGAGGAGUGGAACAUGGUUUGCACCAGCCAUAUUUGUUUUCUGUAACAAAUCAAUCAAAUACUUGCUUUGAUGAAGAAGCGUAGCAUCUUCGGUGCGAUGAACUUCCAGACCAAGGAAGUAAUGCAAGGAGCCUAGAUCUUUGACAGGAAAUAAAGUGCUCAACUGUGCUAUGAACUGAUUGCAAAUAGUAGCAUCAGGACCACUAACUAGAAUAUCAUCAACGUAGACAAGCACAAUAACCAGAGUUGGAGCAUGAAGAACAAAUAAAGAAGCAUCAGAAGAUGAUUGACUAAAUCCAAGAGAUUAAAGAGCUUGAAAUAAUUUGUCAAACCAAGCUCUAGGAGCUUGUUUAAGUCCAUAGAGAGAUUUUUUGAGCUUACACACAUGAGUAGGUUUGCUGGGAUCUUGAAAACCAGAAGGUUGAACCAUAAACACAUCCUCUUUUAAGUCACCAUGCAGAAAGGCAUUGCUAAUGUCCAGUUGAUGGAGAAACCAAUUAAAUUGGAUAGCAAAAGAUAACAAAAGUCUGAUAGUAACUGGCUUUGCAACCGGACUAAAUGUUUCUGUAUAGUCAAGACCUUCCUGUUGGUGAAAUCCCUUAGCAACAAGUCUUGCUUUAUAUCUCUCAAUGGAUCCAUCAGGAUGCUUUUUAAUUCUAAAGACCCACUUGCAGCCAACUACAUUUUAAGAUGGUGAAGAAGGAACAAGUGUCCAAGUGUCAGUAGAUAAACGAGCAUUGAAUUCAUUUUGCAUUGCCAUUCUCCAAUUUUCAGACUUAGAAGCUUGAAGAUAAGUAUUUGGAAUGUAAUCAGUGGAGGAAGGGAGAGGAUGUUUGGUAGUAGUUAAUGCUUUGGGUUUAUGAAUCCAUUUUUGGAUCAAGUAACCAUGGAAUGAACAUUAGAAACAGAAGGAUGCACAGGUUGAUGGGGAGGGAUAGGUUAUUGUGGAGAGACAGGUUGAUGUGUAGGGACAGGUUGUUGUGUAGGUACAGGGUGAUGGGUAGACAUGAUAGGAGAAGAAGGCAUAGGUGGAAGAGAUAUAGAUGGUUGUGAAGAAGAUGAGAGGGAUGCUGAGAGAGGCACAGGUGUAGUGGGGUUAGAGAUAGGCAUUGAAAAAUGAAGAUUAAUAGAUGAAGGAGCACACUGAUCAAUAGAGGAUUGAACUGGAGUAACAUCCUUAAAAGGAAAAGUAACCUCAUCAAAUAUAACAUGCCUAGAAACAUAAAUCCGAUUGGUUUCCAAAUCCAAACACCUAUAACCUUUAUGUUGUAAACUGUAACCCAAGAAGACAUAUCUCUUACUUUUCCCAUCAAGCUUAGAAGAAAUGUAGGGCUUUAACCAUGGAUAACAACUACACCCAAAAACCUUAAGUUUGGAAUAAUCUGGAUACUUGUUAAACACCAACUCCCAUGGUGAUUUAGGAUUUCCUGAUAUAGGCAGCCUAUUUAUAAGAUAAAGGGCAGUAGUGAAAGCUUCAACCCAAUAGGAAUGAGGAACACUAGAUUCAACCAAUAAAGUCCAAGUUGUCUCAACAAGAUGCCUAUGUUUCCUCUCCACACAACCAUUUUGUUCUGGUGUGUGGGGACAACUAAGUUAUUGAACAAUACCAUGAGCAUGUAGAAAAGAUUUAAAUUGUAAACUGGUAAAUUCACCCCCAGAAUCUGAACGAAGAAUCUUGAUUUUAUUACCAACAGUAUUCUCAACAUAAGCUUUGAAGGUUACAAAAGUAGAAUACACCUCUGAUUUAGUCUUUAAAGGAAAACACCAAUUGUAUUUGCUAAAUUCAUCAACUAGGAGAAAAUAAUAUCGAAAACCACUCACUGAAGUUACAGGAGCUGGUCCCCAUAGAUCACAAUGUAAGAGCUCAAGAGGCUGAAAGGUGGUUGUAGUUGAUGAACUAAAGGGUAGUUUAUGAUUUUUAGCAAUAGCACACUUGGAGCAAAAGAAGUCAACAGAGGUUGUACCUUUAAUAGCAAGCUUAUUACUAGAGAUUAUUUUGCGAAAGAUAGAUGAGGAAGGGUGUCCUAGCCGACUGUGCCAUAGUUUGACUGAACCUUGAGCACUGACAAGAGCAUAAGUGCAUCCAGAAGAUUGAGCAGUGGAAGAACAGUUUUGCAUAGGGUAAAAGCCAUCUUUAACUGGACCCUACAAAAACGUCUUCCCCGUAGUACGAUCCUUUACAACAGAGCCAUCAGAAUCAAGUGUUAAGGCACAAUAGUUAUCUUUGAGAAAUUGGUAUGCAGAUAACAGAUUAUGCUUUAUUUGAGGGACAUGAAGCACAUUACGCAAAUGAAAUUGAGCAUUAGGAGAAUGCAAAGAAGAAGAGCCAAUAUGAUGUAUAGAGAGACUUUUACCAUCACCGACAUAAACCUUGUCCUCGCCAGUAUACGGUGUUGGUGAAGAGAUGUUGGCAAUAUCAUUAGUGAUGUGAGAUGUGGCGCCAGAAUCUAGUAGCCAAGAUGGAGAAGGUUUGGAGGAGUAGUGUGCACACAUGGCUGCAAGUUUUGCAGGAGGAAUCUUCCCAGAGAUGUCAGGAUUCAUGCGAUCGAAGCAAUCAAUAGCUUCAUGACUAGUAGAUCCACAAAUUUGACAAGAAACAUGAGUACUGCCGAAUGAAGAGUUGCGAACACCUUGGUGAUGACCACGAUUGGAAGAUUGACCUCUAUAAUUGCCUCUGUGUCCACGAUUGUUGUUGUACCGACCAUGAUUAUGAGAGUGAUUACCUCUAUAGAUGUUCCUUCCACGAUAAGAGUUGAAUCGAAAGGAUUGGUGAGGUUGAGCAACAUAUGCUUAAGGCGGUAGAGUUGGAAGAAGAGGCGGUUGAGACUGAACAGAGAACGCCUGAAAGGACUCAGUAGUGGAGGAAUAGAGCUUCUUGCGACGAGACAUUGAAAGCUCUUUGGUGAGAAGAAGACCAUGUAACUCAUCCAGAGACGUGGAAGAGAGACGUAACAUCACAGAAUCAAUGAAGGAUUCGAAUUCAUCAGGUAAGCCAGCAAGAGUAGCCGCAAUAAGAUCGCGAUCAGAAAUAAGUGCACCAGCAGCAGAAAGAGAAUCAGAGAUUUCUUUGAGUUGUUGAAGAUAAUCCGUCAUAGAUUGAGUACCUUUUUGAAUUACUUGAAGGCGAGAUCAUAGUUGAUGGAUGUGAGCAUCGGAGACGCCACCAAACCGUUGUUCAAGCUUGAUCCAAAGAUCGCGAGCAGAAGAGACACCAACAGUAAAAGGAAUAACAUCUUCCGAAAGUGUAGAAUUCAACCAAAUCAACAGAUUCUAAUCCUUUUCAUACUAGAUCUCAAAAGCUGGAUUAAUCGAUCGAUCGAGAAGGAAUGACGGUGGACACGGCUCAGUACCUUCAAUAAUUCCAAGAAGUUUGUAGCGCCUGAGAAUCGAUGCAAACAAAGCACGCCAUGGAAGAUAGUUAGAUCUCUUGAGCUUAAUUGGCACCAUGCUUCCAAUAUUCUGAAUUGUGAUAGAAGCAUACGAAUUGGACACGUUAGGGUUUGUAGAAGAAUUGGGGGCAGAAUGCUGGAGAGAUUCAUGAGAUGCAAAAUCGGACGGAGAUGCCAUGGUAAUCAAAAACAAGAAUUACAAGAAAAGAUCAGCGAGAAUCAGAGAAACAAAGCGGAAGAAAGGAUCGAAUUGGCCUUGAGGCAGAAGGUGAAAGAUACCAUAUAAAAACUAUGUGUUCUUGUAAGAGAGAGAGAGAGAGAAGAGAAGAGAAGAGAGAAAGAGAGAGAGGUUUCUUAAGAAUUAAGAAAUCUGUGACUUUUCAUUAAUUGAACAAAUGAAUAAUACAAUUACAUAUAUAUAGUCCUUGUGACUAUUUACAUUUGGCUAUCUAAACUAACCAAAUAAACCAAACUAAUUACAUGAGUAACAAACAUAUAACAAACAACUUUAGCUAUGAUAUAGCAUCUUCAUCUUUAACAUUUUCUGUUCAUGAGACCUGGCUCUGUGUUGAUCCAAGUUAUUCCUCUUGGAACUAGUUGGGCAGCAGAGGAAUACUAUGGGAAACCUGCAAGAAAGCUUGGGUUAAACUACGUCGGCUACAAAAUUCUUACCACAGAAAACUCGUUACACAACAAGUAUGGUAAAGAUGAUCAUGUUCUUAAAAAUCCAGCUAGUGUAACAAAAAAAAGAUGGGAAUACACAAAGGAGAUUUACCUUGAAGGUCAAACUGUGAGACUACACCUCACAAGAUUUAAGAAGCAGCUGCUUCGUGCUUAUAACUGCGCCAUUGGAAGAACGACUCGGCAUUUCGAACAACAAUAAACUAGUCAUUCUGGAAGUUGUAGAUUCAUACAUGCUUGAUAAAAAUUUGUGAACAUGUAUAUAACGUCGAGAUUUAGCUUAGUAGUAUGUACACCUCAUCAAUUAGGCUAGCUUACUUAUUAAGUUUUGGCAGCUACUAUAAAUAUAAUUCAUCAAUUCUCAAUAUAAUGAAAAAGUCAACUUCUUCUUCAAGCUGUUUUUUCUCUAUGUUCCAUAUUUUCUGAGUUCUCCAUUUUCACGAGUUCUACAUUUUCCUGAUUUCUGUAAUCUUCGAUUUCCAUGAUUCUUCCAUAGCUAUCAUGGUAUCAGAGCUUAGGUUCGGUGAAUCUAAGAGAAGGAUCCUGGAUUGGCUCAUCAAGCGAUGGAAGUAGUCGUUGCGUAGAGAUUUGUAGCUGUUUUUGGUUCGCGAUUUUUCGUCGGAGAUCUAUCUUCGUUGAAUCAGGUUCUGAAUUUCGUUCUUCGGUGUAUCUGUGUGAUCAAUUCUGCGUGAAAUUUCUGGAGUUCUUAGUUUGUUUUCUGGAUAUGUUGAUUGUAGAAGAUUGCGAUGAUGAACUUUUAGGGCAUGAAGCCUGAAAUUUUUUUUUAGGGCACGAAGCUCGUUGUUAUGUUCAAUGCGUGUGAAGAUUAAUGUCUGUGUGGUGAAUUCCGAAGAAAUUUGUAUGCAUAUUCUAGAUUGUUGAUAUAUAAGCUUCUGUGGAGUAUUUUUCUGGUCAUUUUGGCACGAAGCCAGCUGAAAUUGUUUCUUUGAGUACAAAACUCUUUGAGGAAUUGAAUUCAUUUGUUCAUUUGUGAUUCGGUCAGUUGGUGAUUUGACAAAUCUUGGUGCAUAAUCUUGGUGUAUUGAUAUAAUCUUGGUGUAUUGGUGAUCUGGUGAUGAAUGCUAUAAAGAUGGACAGUCUACUGGGCAUGUUAACUAUCCGAUUACAAGAUGACAAUUUUGUGAAGUGGUCCUUUCAAUUUACAGAAGAAUCUAACCACAUUGACUUUUUCUGGAUCUACAAUGUAUUGUCAGGGUGAAUCUUCUAAUACUACUCACAAUUCUCCAGAGUCUUCUCAAUAUUUCAAUGGUGGUUUUGGCUUUGUUAGCGGCAGCAACACUAACUCUCAGGCUCGUGGAUCAAGACCAACUGGAGGAUUUGUGUCACAAGCCAAUUUGCCUCAGUUUCAAGGGAAUGGAACUUUUCAGCAUCAAAGGAAUUAUCAUAACAAUGGUGCUAACAAUGGCAGGUUCAAUAACAGACCAAGGUUUAAUAAUGGAUCUUCUGGAAGAUUUUCUGAGAAUUCUAAUUACUUCUCUGGUAGCUCCAGUAAUAAUGGAGGAUCUAAUUUUGGGGCUAAGGGAGGAUCUACUUGGCAGAAUUGGAAUGGUAAUAAUGGAUCAAAGAGCGCUUUGAUUCCUGAAUGCCAAAUUUGCAACAAAAGAGGCCACACUGCCCCAAAUUGUUACUCUUGAUAUGAUACAAGUUCCAGCACUGUUUCUCAAGUUCCCGAGUGUCAAAUAUGUGGGAAGAAAAGGCACACUGCUCUUAAUUGCUAUCACAGGGGGAAUUAUGCAUAUCAAGGAACACCACCACCUCCUUCUAUCUCUGCUCUUACGACACAAGCUCAAUCAAAUUUUGAUGGUUCUUCACAACAAAAUUAGGUGCUAGACAUAUGGGCUACACAUCAUAUGACCGCUGAUUUGGACAAUUUGACUUUGGUGGCUCCUUUUGAAAGAAAUGAGAGGAUUACAGUGGGCAAUGGCGAAGGGCUUCCUAAUGUCAACACUGGUUUGGGUUCCAUCUUCACUCCUUUUAAAGCUUUAACUUUACACAUGGUUCUACAUGUUCCAAAAUUGGCUGCUAGUCUAUUGUCUGUUUAUAGACUCUGUAAAGAUAACAACUAUUAUGUUAUUUUUUAUGAGUUUGGUUUUUGGGUGCAGGACAAGGCAACAAAGAAAGUUCUCUUGAGAGGAAUGAGUAGUUGUAGUGGCUUGUAUUACAUUCCUCAACAACAAUUCUUCAAGUAUUUUCAGCUCCUAGAUACUACACCACAGGCUGUCUUGGGUCAACUUGUGAAGUCUUCUAUAUGGCAUCAUAGACUUGGUCAUCCAACAAAUGAAGUGCAGUAAAAAAUGCUUAAGGAAUCUUCUAUUUCUGUGUCUAUAGACAAUAAUCCUCAGAUGUGUUCAGUUUGUAUAAAGGGUAAAAUGUCUAGACAACCAUUUCCUUUAAGUACUAAUAAGUCUCGUAUUCCAUUUGAAAAAGUGCAUACCAAUGUAUGGGGACCUUCACCCACUAUAUCCGUUGAAGGUUACAGAUAUUAUGUCAUUUUUUUAGAUGAAUGCACAAGGUUUACUUGGCUUUUCCCUCUUGUGAAUAAGUCUGAUGUGUAUGCAGUAUUUGUUAAAUUUCAUGCUCUCGUUGUGAAUCAUUUUAAGACUACAAUAAAGUUUUUACAAUCAGAUGGAGGAUGAGAGUUUAUGAGUGGAUUGUUUAAGAAAUUUUUGGAGUUACAUGGCAUUUUACAUCUUGUUUCAUGUCCAUAUACACCCCGGAAAAAUGGGUUAACAGAGAGGAAGAAUAGACAUAUUAUUGAAACUGCUAUAACUUUAUUUGGUGCUGCAUUCUUACCUCAAUCAGUCUCCAUCUUUUGUCAAGUUGUUUGGACAGUCUCCAUCUUUAACAACUCUCAAGGUCUUUGGUACAGCCGUAUACCCUUAUUUAAGACCUUAUAGUGACAAUAAGUUGCAGGCAAGGAGUGAUGAAUGUGUCUUUCUGGGAUAUUCAUUGAUUGGGCUAUAAAGGAGUAUUGUGUUAUAACAGGAAUACAAAGAGGUUGUUGAUGUCUAGACAUGUAAUCCAUGAUGAAAGUGUAUUCCCUUUUCAAUCAGUUUGCCUUCCAAACAUGAGUUCUUCUCUUAUUCAUGCAUCUUCCCAGAAAUUAUCAUCUAUGAUUGUACUUGUUGUGUUACCAAGAUCUUCAAAUGUGUCUGAGGAACAGUUUCAAGAUACUAAUUAGAGUAGUCAGACUAUGCAAGCAAUAAGUCCCUCUGAUAGCUCGAGUCAAGAAUCAACACAAGCCACUACUCAAGUCACUACUCUAGAUCCUACUUCAUCUCACUUGUUGCCUGUCCAUGCUAGUUCCCAAACUAAGGUACCACACUCUUUUACUGAAUCAUUACCACUGCAUGAUAUAUAUGCUGAGCAGUCUAUUGACGUUGAAACAUCUAAUCCCUUAGAGGUUGAUCAUGACAUAUUACCUCCUGUUAUUCCUAGUACUUCUAUACAUGGUAUGAUUACUAGGUUAAAGAGUGGUGCAAUACAAAGAAAAGAUUAUGCAGCCUAUCAUGUUCCUGUGACAAAUGAAGACUUGUGUCCUAAAUCACAUAAUGAUGAUAUAAUGUUCAGUGGCUUUACUGUUGUUCUAGAUAUACAUGAUUCUUCUGAGCUUGUUGAUUAUAAACAAGCAGUAAUGUCUGAAUGUUGGAGAAAUGCAAUGACUGAAGAAUUUAAUGCUCUUCAAAAACAAGGGACUUCGGAGUUAGUACCAUAUCCGGAAGACAGAAAUGUAGUAGGCAGUAAGUGAGUUUAUAAGAUAAAGAAAGAUCAAGAAGGGAAGGUGUCUAGAUAUAAAGCUAGACUGGUUGCACAGGGGUAUAGUCAAGAACAAGGGUUGGAUUAUGAAGAAACUUUUAGUCCAGUUGUUAGGCAUACCACAGUAAGACUUGUUUUAUCACUUGCAGUAACUUACAAAUGGGAAUUGAGACAAUUAGAUGUUAAAAAUGCAUUUUUGCAUGGAGAAUUGCAAGAAUAGGUUUUUAUGAAACAACCUCAAGGUUUUCAAGAUCCCAGAUAUCCCAAUCAUGUUUGAAAACUUCUUAAGUCUUUGUAUGGUCUGAAACAGGUUCCAAGAGCCUGGAAUGCAAAAUUCACAAGUUAUCUUCCAGCCUUACAAUUUCAAUCUUCUCAUUCAGAUCCAAGUUUAUUUGUCAAAGUCAAUGGGAGUGAUGUGGUGAUUCUUCUACUAUAUGUAGAUGACAUUAUACUUACUGGUUCAUGUUCCCAGCUAGUGCAGCAUGUGAUUGAUGAUUGGUCCUCUGUGUUUGAUAUGAAAGAUAUGGGGACACUCACUUAUUUCCUUGGGCUGCAAGUUAGUUACAAAGACAAUGGAGAUAUUUUUAUUAAUCAGUCAAAGUAUGUGACUGAUCUUCUCAAUAAGGCAGGAAUGUUGUCUUGUAGAUCGUGUUCUACUCGUAGUAAACCUCAUAUACAGUUGUUGAAUGAUGAAAGAGUACCAUUGGCAGAUCCUACAAUGUACAGAAGUUUGGUUGGAGCUUUGCAAUAUCUAACCUUUACUAGGCCAGACAUUGCAUAUGUUGUCAACUAUGCAUGUCAGUUCAUGAACACACCCACUGAGUUUCAUUUUUGUUUGGUAAAACGAAUAUUGAGAUAUUUGAAAGGUACAAUACAGUGUGGAAUCACAUACUCUGCUACUAAGAAAUUAGAAUUGUUUGCAUUUAGUGAUGCUGACUGGGCAGCUGAUAUAAACACUCGAAGGUCCACCACUGGCUAUGUUGUCUUUUUGGGGUCGAAUCCAGUUUCAUGGCAAUCAAAAAAGCAAGGAAGUGUGUCUAGAAGUUCAACCAAGGCUGAGUAUAAAGCAUUGGCUAAUGUUGUAGCUAAUGUUGCUUGGAUAAGAUUGGUUCUUAAAGAUCUUCACUUAUUUCUUUCUUCACCACAUGUCUUGCAUUGUGAUAAUCUGUCCACUCUAGCUUUGUGUUCUAAUCCAGUCUUUCAUACUCGGAUUAAACACUUAGACACAGAUUUUCAUUUUCUUCGUGAAAGAGCGCAGAAAAGAGAUUUGGAGGUUCAAUAUAUUUCCACAGAAGCUCAGGUUGCAUAUGUUCUAACUAAAGGGUUACACAACCCUCUAUUUGUUCAUCAUUGUUCCAAUCUCAGACUGGGAUAUCCCAGCUGAGAUUGAGGGGAAGUAAUAACAGAAUGUAAACCUCUGCAAUUAAGUUAGCUUAGUAUGUACACCUCAGCAAUUAGGCUAGCUUACUUAUUAAGUUUUGACAGCUACUAUAAAUAUGUGUAUAACUGUUUGUAAUUCAUCAAUUCUCAAUAAAAUGAAAAAGUCAACUUCUUCAAGCUGUUUUUUCUCUUUGUUCCAUAUUUUUUGAGUUCUCCAUUUUCACGAGUUCUACAUUUUCCUGAUUUCUGUAAUCUUCGAUUUCCAUGAUUUUUCCAUAGUUAUCGUACAGCUACUAGUGGUUGUUUCUUUUGUCAUAAAAAUUUCUCCGAUGCUGGUUGUUUCUUUGGAUUAACGCCCUCAGUAUAUGAUCGACUAAAAUAUUUAUGUUCGUCCAUAUCCCCUGAACGAUCCACUCUCUAUCAGAUGACGACCUCCCAGGUCCUGAUGACCUAAAUAUCCACUGGAUUUUUAGGAUUAAAUUUAUUUUGAUCCACCUCCACUGUCACUGACGUCUUCAUAUCUUUCAGUCCUGCUUCGCCACACUGAUCGUAAACUGCUCUUUCCUGAGAUCACACAAGAACUGAAUUCGGGAAUACGUUUCAUUCUUUUAUUUUUCACGCAGCACACACGUUAAUGUACAAAAUCAGUGAAACUUUGGAACAACGUAAAAUAUGUUAAGUGCUUGGACAUUUGAAAAAGCAUAGACACUAUUCCAAAAACAAUUUAAUAUACUUCUGUUCUUAAGUCUUGGUUAUGAGAAUUGACAGAAUUGACAAAUAUCCUUUUCUCCCUUCUAAUUAUUAAGGCGCAUUUGGAUAAGGGUGAACUUGGAUUUGGAGUUGGGUUUGGUAUUUUGACUAUGUGAGCAACAUUUCCAAGAUUGACAUUGACAGAAUGUAAGUGAAUAGACUUGCUCAACAUAAGAAGGCGCAGCUAGUAUUGGAUAAUGUGAGCACGUUGAUUUUUUGAAGAUUUAGAAAUGUGGGUUGUUCUAGAAGAUGGGGAAGACGAACCUGUCAACCUAAAUUUUUCAUUUUUUGGAGGAAAAAAAACUGAAAUCAAACCAAAACCGAACCAAAAAAAAAAACCAAACCGAGAAAAAAUUGAAAAAAAUUGAUUCGGUUCAGUUUCGAUUUUGGUGAAAAACCGAACCGUUGAGAACCGAACCCAGCCCUACUCUCCCUUAUCUCUCCAUUUCGAGCUCACCUCUCUCUCAGGCUCUUUCCCGAUCGACACCCAUACAUACAAAAGCACACACAUACACACCCAAGGAGACUUCGACAACGGCACUACCCUCCGAUCCCACUCUCUCCUUCUCACCACGGUGCAGACAUUCCCCGACGAGUUUUCAUCGUUUUUUAUGAAAGUAGGUCGAAACACCCUUCCAUCUUUCUCUCUAGUAGUCUAGAAGGAUUCAUGGUUGCUAAAAUAUGAUUUUGGUGAAGGUUUGGACAUGAAAACACGUCGGGGAGACUUCCCCAGAUUUCCGGGGAGGAACCUGUCACUUUCGAGGCAAUUUUCGGCCAAACCACUAUGAUUUGGCUAGCCUGCAAGGUAUAAAUCUCUUCGUCUAGCUGAGUACUACAACUUUCCUUUUUGUUUCACCCAAUUUCAUUGAGUAUUGAAGAAGUUAUACUCAUUUGAAUCUUACCCAGUUUUCGGCGACCUCCGUGGCUUUUAAGGGGUUUUCCGGCCAAACCACAGCGAGUUAAACGUCGUGCGAGGUACCAUUCUCUUCGUCUCUUUGAGAACUACGAUUUUCGUCUUGAAUCACUCAAUUUCGUGGAGUAUUGACAAAGUUAUAGAUGUUUAAAUUAGCCCAGUUUUCCGACGAAAAACCUCAAAUUCCAAUGUUCUUCUACGGUUAGCUCUGGCGUCUCCCUCUUGGCGAUAGGCCUUUCAGGCCACCUCAAAGACCAUAGGGCCUUAGGAAAUAGGUCUAAGCUUAAGAAUAGUUAAGAACUGAUAAUAAAAUUUGACGAGGCCAAAAACAUUUCGAGAUUCACAAUACUUUGUGAGAGCUAUUUCAAAGUUCAAAAAUUAAACAUAGAACCUCUGAAUCAAUAGAAUGAUGAAGAAGAAAGAUAUGAAGCAGCUUGCUUAUGCAUGAAGCGACAUGAUUGGCUACCUUAAAGUGAUGCCUUUGAGGAAACCAAAGCUUAAUGAGUCUAGAGAAGUUCAGAGCAAAGCUCGAUCUUUGUACAAUGAUGAAUAUGGUGGAAUCUCAAGCCAUUACACUGAAAAAUUACAAGGCUGAACAGUUAAUGGACAAGAACAUUGAUCAAUUGGGCUACAAGUUAUGGGCUAAGUUCACCUGUACCAAAAAGUAUGUGGACAAGGAGCUAGGAUUUACCACCACGUACCAGGCCCAGAUGAAGUUCAAGGAGUCUGUUUAUCCAAACAAGACUGGAUCUUCAUCAUCUAAGUCCAACUACAACAACAACAAGAAUCGCAACUCCUUUUGAAAAAUAAUGAGAAUAGAGUCUGCUACCAAGGAGUUCCCAAGAAAAGUAUAAUCUCUAGACAAAGUCAACGCUUGAAGGAUUUGGUGUAAAGCUGACGGUCAAAAGUUAAGGAACUUGACUUCGUUGUUGGGGUAAGCAAGAUGGUUAUCGAUAGAAUAAUCGUCAAGAAUUGUUCUAAAGAUCCACACGAAUUUCUUCAGUGGUAAUGAGUUUGAGAACAUUGAUUUGAUCCCACCAAUUACCACAUACUAACUUCGUCACAACUAGCGCUUACUCGCUUCCUCCAACACUCACUUUGAAAGUUUCAAGAAGUUGUCAUUAAGAUAUGACUCUACCUGGUAUUCCUAGGGAACGCAUGUUGCAGAGUGAUAUCACCGUUUCAUAUUUCUAAUUGGUCUUAACCAACACACACCACUAAGAUUUUUCCAUUUCCCAAGAUUUCGAUGUAGAGCCGACUCCGCCCGCAAUUCCUAGGGAACGCAUGUUGCAGAGUGGCAUCACCAUUUCGGAUCUACAGUUGGUCUUGACCAGACUUCCUCAAACAAAGAUUUCUAAACACGUCGCUUCCAAGUAACACCAAAUCUGCCCGCCAUUCCCAGGGAAUGCACGCCGCAGAGUAUUGAUCCGAUGUUGAAAGUCGUCCAACAAAUCAAACACGUCACCGAUGAGGCACAAUCCCGACACAAGAUUUCUUAUUUCAACCCGAAUGUGACAAUUCAAACAGAGAAAGGUUUGCACAACUGCGCCGAAUGGCACCAAUUUCGGAAGUCAGGACAUCCAAAUGACGUCAAAACCGACACACUGCUACAGUAACAGAAAGUCCUAAGUAUACUCUAAACAAACCACGCUCUGAUACCAAUCUGACAUGGCCCGAUCCUGAUAUUCCUCGAAUAACAGGAUAAACGCGUGCUGGCCGACACCCGAGGGUGACGAAAGCCAUUUAUUGAGUGCAAAUGCUGAAAACAAGGGAUAGAUAAGACUUAUAAAUAUAAAAGUAUAAAGAAUAUGCAUUUAAGGAAUGUGUUCAGAGCAUACAACUAACUAGAACACUAAAAGAAAUAAUAUAAAAUUGAAUGAAACAAAUGAUGGAUCCUACACCGAGAGGACUCGAAAAUGCCGAUGCGGAAGUGCCCUGACGCCGGGAUUGUAUGUCUCGAUUCUAAGUCCUGAAGGGGCCACAAAACAAACAUGAGUGGACCAAGUUGAUAUAUAUAUAUAAUAAAACAAUUAUCAACGUACUAAUCCCCAGGUUUUAUGAAGAAAAAAACAUAUAUAUCAUGAUAAACAUAAGUUUUCCAAAACCUAGCAUGUUGUGCAAUGUCUCAAAUUAUAACUUGUAUAUAUAAUAAUCACUAGUGAAUGUCCAAAUAUAACCCCCAAGCCCCAUGCUGGCUCCCCGUCUCUGAGCAGACAGUCAGAGAAAAAUACACUACAAGCCCCAUGCCGGCUCCCCGUCCCUGUGCUAAAUAGCUAGAGGAAACACACUCCAGGCCCUAUGCCAACCACAAAUUGUCGUCCGGGAUGGACUGGAAUCUAUCCCUACGUCCCGUAGCGGAAUAAGGACCACUAGGUAAGUACAAAACCAUUGAACAUAUAUAUAUUGAAAAGCAACUUCAUAGUAUAAAGUCAUCUAUCAUCUAUACAAUAAAGAGGUGUUCGAAACAUGUUCUAAAUAUCAUAUCGUCAUCCAUCUAUUCUAUAAGAACACGAGUUAUAGGAAAAAUAGUAGUAAUUCAAACUAGCCUCAGUAAGCAUGUUAUCUCAAAGCAUUUCAUAAAACAUAAUUGUUAAAUCAUGCUUUUCAUGUGUGCAUUUCUACUAUCAAAGCAUGCAUUUUUAGAAUGAGUCCACUCACAGAUACUUCGCCGUUGAAGAGCCACACAAACUAGCGAAGACAAAAACGCCACUAUAAUUGCCCCUAAUCACAUAAAUGGUACAUUUAGUCAAACUCUACUCAAACGAUUGAAUUUGGGAAAAUGGACUUCAAAAACGGGUCCAGGACGUCGAAAUUAGCUUAGGAGAGGUCUCGAACGAAAACCCGAAAAGUCAACGUUAACCGUUGACCGGGACGGUCAACGGGUCACGGGUCCAUCGGGUCGGGUCAGUCAAACCCGGUUUAGGGUUUUGGGUUAGGAAUUGGGUUGGGCUUAGAUUUAGGAUAGGUUGGGUUUUAGGGUAAAAAGGCUUAAGGGAUUUGGGCUUUCAAAAAACAGGCCUCAAGCCUUAACUAAAUGGCCCAAGGGCCUUAAACUUAAAACAAUUAAAAAUAAAACAAAAUAAAUAAGAAAACAAAAAUGGGUUUGGGUUGGGCUCGACAGGAAAGGCCCAAAGGCCUGGUGUGGUUACUGCUUGCCGAAGCUAAACGGAAGGGAAGGCCGAAUUUCGGCCAUAAAACUACACAAACUUUAAACGGCCAUAACUUUGUCCAAACUCAACGAAAUCAAGUGAAACAAAAAUGAAAGUUGUGUUUCUCGAAGAGACAAAGAGAAUGGUACUCGCAAAACAUCUAAAUCACCGUGGUUUGGCCGAAAAACGCCUCGAAAGCCACCGGACUCGCCAAAAACUUGGUAAGAUUCAAAUGACUAUAACUUCUUCAAUACUCAACGAAAUUGGGUGAAACAAAAAGGAAAGUUGUAGUACUCAGAGAGAAAAAGAGAUUUAUACCUUGAACGCUGGCCAAAUCUCCGUGUUUUUGCCGUAAAUUGCCUCGAAAGGGGCGGUCUGUGUCAGAGUUCGUGUACGGGGCCUCAUGGUUCGACUUCGACGACGCCAUGCCUUUGGUUGUGUUCGUAGGGACGAGAUGAAGACAAUGGUGAUGUCAAAAUUGUGAUUUGAUGAUGAUUUUAGGAUAUGGGUUAUGGGUGUGGCGCGGUGAAGGAGAAGAAGAGAAAGGGAGUAUGGGAAAAAGAGAGGAGAAGAGAUAGAGAAAGAAGAGGGCUGAGAGAGUUAUAAAAAUCAGAAAAAGAAAGAAAAGGGGAAGGGAACCGGGGGACAAGGAUCACAUGUGGCCCCUUAGGCACACCAAUUAAGACCAAAAACCAUUUUUAAAAGGAAAACUAUCCACAAACUUAGUGAAAAUUCAAAAAUACCAUUUUUGUUCCAUAAAUCCUGGGACGGUGGUUACAAUCGAGACAUACAAUCCCGGCGUCAAGGCACUUCCUCAUCGACAUCUUCGAGUCCUCUCGGUGUAGGACGCAUAUCCUUUUAUUCAUUCAAUUUUAUAUUAUUUCUUUUAGUAUUCUAGUUAGUUGUAUGCUCUGAACAUGUUCCUUAAAUGCAUAUUCUUUAUUCUUUUAUAUUUAUAAAUCUUAUAUAUCCCUUGUUUUCAGUAAGUGCACUCAAUAAAUGGCUUUCGUCACCUUCGGGUGUCGGCCAGUAUGUGCUUAUCCUGGUAUUCAGGGAAUAUCGGGAUCGGGGCGUGUCAAAAACACUUUGAAAGUUGGCUGAUUGGUGAAUAUAUUGUGUGAUGGUUAGAUAUUCAACCUAUGCUUAUAUAGAGGAUGAUUGAAGGUUUGCGUUUCAUGUGUGUAGGUUUGUAUUUUAUGCGUUUCAUGUGUUUUGUAUGUAUUUGGUAUGUGUUUUGUGUGUGUCAUGUGUUUCACAUGUUUGGUGUGUUAUACAUCUUUAUCAUGUGUUUUGUAUGUGCUUCAUAUGUAUUAUGUGUGUCUUUUGUGUUUACACAUCUCUAUCAUGAUUUUCAUAUUCUUCCAUAGUGUUUCAUGAAUUUCAUGUAUUGAUUUAGUGAUUUUUCAAUAUUUAUCCGAAUUUAAAUAUUUUUAAGUUAAAAUGUUCAUAAAAUUAAUUUAAGAUAAUCUACAUAUUUUUUUUAAAGUUAAUUUAAAAAAAAAAUAGCCUAAAUUCAUUCUUUAAUAAUUUGAGGUUAAAAUUUUAGGAUAAAAGGGUUGGAGCAGAAAAUAUGUUCUAGGUUAAAACCUAAAUUUUCUGAGGUAAAAAUUUUAGGUUUUACUCCAAGGGUUGGAGAUGGUUCAAGUGCACAGGUCGUUGGUGGCCUGCACUUAUUGUAACAGAAGAAAGUUAAGAAACCAUCUGGUAAUGAUAUAUGAUGAAAUAACCAUCACUCAUUACUACCACAUAAAUUAAUAACAUUACGAGACGGUGCGUGCAGAGAAGGUGCGCAAAGACACAAAAAGUUUUCGUAGAUGGCUAAGCUGAUGUUAUGAACCUAGAGUAUAUUAUUAACAAAUAAAUACAUGUGCUAUAAUAUGAGUGAAUUUAUAACACUCGUAAUCAAGUUCAUAAAGUAGUAAAAAGUUAGAGCUCAUUUGGAAGUGCCUUUAAAAUGAUUGAAAACACUUUUAGAGAAAAUGUUUGGGGUUCCAAAAGCAACUAAAGUGCUUCCUGGAAGAAGCACUGGUUAUGUGCUUCUUCCAGAAAGCACUUCAAGUACUUUUUCACGAUUCACUUGCGUUUUUACCAAGAAUUGAUUUCAAAAACAUUUACACCAAAACUUUUUCAAUCAAUUUAAAAGCACUUUCAAACGAGAUAUUAAUGACAUCCACAUCUCUUUUGCAAUUAAAGAAAGUGGGCUUUUGCAAUGGAUCAGUUUCAUUUCAUAGAAAAGUCACUUUGCCCAAGAACACAUAACCCAACCCAAACCCUAAAUUUACUUGCAGGCUAGCCCAACCUAUAAAGGCCUAAAUAGUGGCUUACAACUAGCUACACCGACGCGGGCUAUGGUUGCGGCUGAGCUCACUAGAUUCCGCACCAGUCAGUGCUCCAAAAGAAAAAUUCGAACCAGAAUUCAAGGUUGUAUUGUUCGACCUUAAUACCAGUUGAAGGGUUUUCUUUGCUUGCUCUUGAAGAUCUUAGAUUUCUUCAUCCUCCAUUUCCAGAAUGUUCAAGAAGUAAGCUUUAUAUAUAUUGUCAAUAUAUUGUACGUAUAGGUGUUUAUUUUUAAAUAUAUGUUAUUUGUUUGCUUAGUUUUUUUUUUUUUUUUUUAUCAUUGAGGCAUAUGAUUUCUGGGUUUGGUUUAAUUCGAUGAAAAAUUAAACAGCGUUUCAAUUUUGUUUUCAUUUGUGUUUUCUGAUUAUAUACUUUUAUGGGUUUUAAUUUUGGAUUUAUGCCCUGAAGUUUAUAUGUUAUUUUGUGUAAUUGGAAGUAUAAAUUUGAAUACUUGGAGCUAACGGACGGAAAAUCAAGCGCAGUGGCGUUCUAGGAUUCAUACAGCCGACUCAUAAGGCGUUGUUGUUGUUGUGGAAGUAUAAAUUGGAAUUGUGCCAUUGCUUCUCUGUGGUUUAAGCAACCGUUCUAAAGCUUGAUCCUUCUCAGCAAAGUUGGUUUUGUGCUGUAUGUGGGAUGUUUUGAUGUUAAAAUGAAGCUUGAAAGGUCACUUCUUUUUGGUUUUUAUGGAAGAUGAGGUUAAUUAUUUGGGGAGGAUGGUUAGGGUUCUCAAAUAUUUGUUUUUGUGUGGGAGCGGUUUGGAGUAGCAAAUUUUUGUUUUGUGUUGCAAUAGAUGCGUAAGGGGAAUAUUUCGUAAUAUGAUUGCAUAAUACGUGUGUAAUGUUGUAGGUUUUCUACUGAAGAGGUGUCUGCACAAAAUCAAGUUAAGGCAUCUGUCCAGCGCAAAAUUCGGCAGAGUAUUGCAGAUGAGGUAAGAUGAUUAGGUUCAUAGGAAUUUCACGGAUGCUUUAAGAUACGCUUUACAUAUGUCUGUAACACAAAGUUAACUUCAACUGCAGUACCCGGGACUCGAACAGGUGUUGGAAGAUUUGAUCCCAAAGAAAUCUCCUCUUAUUGUGGCUAAAUGGUUUGUCGCUCUGUUGGUCCUGCUUCUGUGUUUUACUUAUUGACUCAGCUAUUUGUUUCAUGCUGCCUUAUCUCCAUGUAUCUAACAUUGUCUUCCACAUGCUCGACUUUUGCAGUCAGAACCAUCUAAAUCUGGUGGUGGUAAACAACGUGCCACUAUUUUUCAACAUUCGUGAUGGACCGUAUAUGCCUACCCUAAGACUUCUUCAUCAAUGUAAAAGUUUCUUUACCGCCAAAAUGCCUUAUCUCAAUAAGUCUGGUCUAUGAACCAGUUAUGCAAUCCUUGAUUUGCUUCUUCUUUUGAGUGGAUUAUUUUAUUUUUCUCAAAUAAAAAGCUACAUAGUUGGUGAAUUUUCCUUCCAAAUAGUUGUAACUGAGAAAGCUCGGGGUUUCUUACGGGUUUUACAGAUCCAGACAUAAUGAAAAAGUUGCAAGUAGAUAGGGGCGCCAUAAGGUUUGUUCUCUCUGGUGCAAACAUAAUGUGUCCAGGUCUAACUUCUCCCGGUGGUUCUUUGGAUGAUGAAGUGGGUGCAGAAACUCCCGUGGUAGGAGUUUUAUGUCUCUUUUUUUCUUUGUAUUAAUGUAAUGUCAUACUCAUGUUAGAACCUUUUUUUUUUGUUCAAAUGUUAGGUUGAGUUGAUUUAAAUAAUUGUCUUGUCACGAGACGGAAAUGUUGAAGUUCAGUUUGUUUUGUAUGUCUCUGAUUUGUAAAACUGAUUACGCUCAGGCAAUAAUGGCAGAAGGAAAACAACAUGCUCUUGCUAUUGGCUUCACAAAAAUGUCAGCAAAAGAAAUGUAAGUUAUUUUCUUAUUCGAAGGACAUUAUCGUUGCUUCUCCUAGAGUAAUGCCUUGGGUACCCUUAGAAUAUUGAGGACAAGAUAUAUAAUACGAGAGCCUAACUUGCAUUACCGACCUCAAAUCUAGCUUAGUUAUCUGUUGCUGAUUGUCGUAUUUACAAAGUUGAGUCUUCCCCUUGGUUUGCAGAAGAGAUAUCAACAAGGGAAUCGGAGUUGACAACAUGCAUUAUCUUAACGAUGGUCUUUGGAAGGUACGUCAGUGUCUACUUUGUAUUUAUGGCCAUUGCCAGUGUUUUAACUAGUGUUUCGUUGUUAAAUCUUUCGCCUUGCUAUGCAGAUGGAACAUCUAGAUUGAAGAUACUCAAGACUAUCCGUGGUAUCAUCAACAAGAAAUGAAGAACACAUGUUAGUUUCAUCGAUGUGGUCUUGACUUUACUGUUUUUCGGAGUGUUAGGUCCGAGCUUUACAAGUCACGAGUAUACCCUAACCGUAUUUACAUGUUUUGUAUUUGUACGUGGAGUGAUCAUCUUUAUCAAAUUCAUCGUAAGAUGGUCAUAUCCAUUUUGUGAUACAAUUUAGAGGUAUUUUUCUUAUAUGAUGUAAGAGGUGAAUUCCCAACUCCCAAGCAUAUGUUUUGACAUCUUUUCCAGUGAACUAUAUGUCUUUGCGAAGAUAAAUGAACGAAAUUAUGAUUUCCUCUUAGACAGCUGCGUAAUCUUUGAAAUUUCAUCGUGAUGUUGGUCUUCAACGAGGAAUUCCUAGUAAGCGCGAGUCAUCAGCUCGUGUUGACUACGUUCCUGCCCUUUGUACACACCACCCCUCGUACCGAUUGAAUGGUCCGGAAAAGUGUUCGGAUCGCGGCGACGAUCGAUUGCUUGAGAAGAAUGCAAGUGAGGAAAUGCUAAAACUAGCACAUUUCGGUGCUCGCAGAAUAGCAAAGGGGCAACAAACUUUUUAAAACUAAACGUUUUCCGUACUAGAAAUACAUCUUUUACUUGUUUUUCCUACUUCUCGAACUAUCAGGAGAUUUCUGGCUGAUCUUGGCUUCAAAUUUCCUGAUUCGUAGAGCGGCUACAUUGUGGCUCUGGCUACGUCUUUAUCGUUUGCUGCAUAUUGACAUGAACAAAGAAAAGAUCAACAGCGAAGCGAAAAACGAUCCAAGUUAGCAACACUGCAAAAUCUCAUUAUGGCAAUCGAAAUGUGGCGGCAGAAGAAGGGCAUACCUUACAGACAAUAGGCCGGCUGUAAGAACCAAUCCUCCGACGGCCCAAGAAACUCGUUCACUAAAUGGCAUGUCCCUCCACCUCUGCUGGAAUUCAGCCUCAAGCUCUCAGCUUUCUGGAGCACCUCAGAAGGUGAAGCCUUCCAUGAAUCAGCAAUCAAGUCAAGACUGGCUUUACCAACAACAACAACAACAACAAAGCCUUUUCCCACUAAGUGGGGUCGGCUCAAGACUGGCUUUACCGCAGUAGCAAAAUGCUUCUUCGUUGCUCACGGAUGCAUCAUCUUUAACAGCAAAUCCUGCCGCAUGGCAGAACUCUGUGCCAUUAAGAAUCCAUUCCGAGGCCCUGCCGCAAACAUAAUCACUUACUCCACAUGGUGCUAGAACCUGGAAGAAGGUAAUUAAUCAGAAAAUGCAAUUCCCUAAUGCACCCAAAAGAGAUCAGUUUAAUCACCUAUUUAUUUGGUUAUGUCAAAUUAUAAGUCGGUAAAAAAAAUUCCUCGACUGGAAGUUAAAGGUCUCCCACAUACCUGUGUUAUUGCAUCUGUCGAGUAGUAAGCCUCAGCACAAGCCUCAAAAACCCUGUCACAGAAAGAGGCACAUAUAGCUGGAGGUCCUGACUGCACGCCAAUGCAGGGAUCACAGAUGGAACAUUCCAGUAAUUCCCACAAAUGCAAGCACUCUGGGCCAGCUUCCCCUGAUGAAGCCAACUUCCUAACGGAUACCAGUGCAGGCUGUGUCUGGGCUACAUCACAGCAAGUUUUUUGCGGAACACUCUGCAAAGGGUCAGAUCUUUGGGUCCCUUACUCAGAUGUUUUGGAGGUUUUCCCUCGGAAGACAAUGGUGGGAAACGACCGCCUUGAGAAAUGCAUACACUGUCAGGUUUACCUACAACUAAAACAGAUGUAGAUAACGUUUAAUGACCAACUAGCGUACAUGCAAAAAUCAUUUGAAAACCAUGUAAAAACUUCUUUACAUAGGAAUUGAAUUUCUCCAAAAUAAUUUGUUAACUUAAGACUCUUGAAGAUGAUUGCCACUGCGAAACGGAAAAGCCUAAAGUAUUGCCCCACAAGAAAUGCAAUUACGUUCUUGCUUGGGAUUCUUGGGAAGAACCAGAAUUUCUUCUGGUUGCCUUUAAGUUAAAGAGAUAAACCAUGCUUACAUGCAUAAAUCAGAUUACAAGAGCAACACCGAUACGAGGCCAAAUCCAGAAAGCAGAUGCCAUUCUGCUGAUUUAAGGAAACAACAAGCAGAUUGCGUCCAAUUUCCACACCGCUAUGAAAAAUGAACAAUGACCAUGCACUCGUAAGAUGUGAUAAGGCAGUCGGGGCACGCCAAAGACACCUUAUGUCAGCUUCAAAAAAAGAGCAAGCCCCUUCAUGGCUUGUCAACCAGAGACAUAAUUAACAUAGACCUCCACACAAGAUUCUAAAAGACGCUAGCUGUUAGUUGAACGGCAAGCUGGGGCCUAGCACCUAGGUGGCUAGGCGGGCCUAGACGGGCGCCUAGAUGAACAAGACGGAUUUAAGUAAAUCUAUUAUAUUUCGUGUAAAUAAGCGUCUGUUUAUACUUAAAAAAUAUAUAAUUUCAUUAUAAACUACAAAAUAGAAUGACAUAUAUAUUAGGAAGUAUUGGAACAUAAUGAAAACAUGGGGAACAAGCAUAUAAUGGGUAUUCGUUUAAGUAUUCAACAAGUAUCUUACAAUUUAUUAAAAAAAUAAAAUACAAAAUGAAAGUUAUCUAUUUUUUAACCAAAUAAGUCACAACUUAGACAGGUGCCUAGGUGGUCUAGGUGGUCUAGGCGGACGCCUCAACAGGUCUAGACGCUCUUUCUUAAUUUUCAAAGGCUUAAACAUUAAUCAAGGUAGUGACCAACCGCCUAGCACCUAGGUGGGGAUUUUUGGAACAGUGCCUCCACGUCAAACUGAUUCUAGCCUACCUCAACUUCCCUCAACCGAAUAUGUUACAUCCGCAAUGCGGAACUAUAGCUCAUACAAACCUUAUGUUUUGGCACACUGGAGACAGAAGUCUAACCUAGUGUGAGAAAAUGGAAAUCUCACUGUUGCAAUUCUCAUGUCAGAGCAGAUAUCCAGUGAUGUCUGCAUACAGUAGACUGAAACUGUACCGAUCAAGUGCAAAAAGAUGGGACUUUCUGAAUCCUAUCUGGAUUUUUUUUUUUUUUUUUUGAACAUCUAUCUGGAUUUUGACUAAUUCUACAAUCCAAAAAAUAAAAUAAAAAUACAAAUCCAUGAUGUCAUUGUUCUCCUAAAAAACUGAUCGUUUUCGAUGGCUGCAAAGUUGGGACACUACGAAAUCGACUCCAAAACUGUUCGCUGAUUAAUUUCAACACAAAGGUCCCGAAAAUCAAACAAUUAGGAUCUGAAAACAAACAAGAAAAAUGAUAUUAUAUAUAUAUAUAUAUAUAUAUAUAUAUAUAUAUAUAUCUGUGUGUGUGUAUUUAUGUACGUAUUUACCAGUUAAAGAGGGGACGAGUGUAUUGAGAAGGAGCAGCAGGAUCAGAGACGCGCAACCCAUUUUUCAUCACUCGGUGGUUUCUUAGUUCUCAAAAAUUUUAAUUUUAAUUGAAAAAUGACAAAUAAAGUUGUAAGUGAAUAGUACAAAAAAAGAUAAAAAUAUGGUUUUUCAUAAAAAAAAAAUAAAUGGUACCAAAAGUGUUUCGUUAAAACUCACAAACAAAAUCCGAUCCGGUGAGAACGGUGGCUGUGGUGGGUACCCGGUGACCCAAUGUACCACAGGUCUCAGGUCUGCGGUGAUGGACCCAAACUUCUAACUGGGUCGGAAGGGAAACAUGGACUCAGGUUGGAGGCCCAUAUAUGUUGCCCUUUCGUUUCUAUACUUAUUUUUACAUAUUUCUAUAAACAUCCACAUAAAUUUCUAAUAUUUCUAAUUUAUUCCUGCUUAAAAUAGAGAAAUAAAAAUUGGCACCAUUCCAAACCCUUUCUGUUUUUUGGUCAAGGAGGAAUUUUAUAACAAAGUCCAAACGGACGCAGUAGAAAGAUAACAGCUUCAUAAUUGAGGUAGGUACAAAUGAGACGUCACUUGUACAUUCAUCGCAUGAGUAAAGGUUCUCAAUUAUACCUAAAGCAUACAAAAAAAUUACAAGAGAUAUGGCUCGGCCCAAAAGCCGAAGUCCACCCGAAGAGGCCCAAAAGUGACCCCUCCGAAAAAAUCUAAUAACCCUAAAACGAGAAUCACCCACCGCCUCAACCGCCUCACCAUUCCAAACCCUUCUUGAUUCUUAUUCUCCUUCUUUCGCCUUCUCUUAAUUCUUCUCCAAACACAGAUUUGCCAUUGGGCUCCACUGCAUCUGGAAUUGACAGUGCACUGUGCACUGCAACAGUGGCUCAGAAAAGGACGACGCCGUUUCCCAAAUUCUCAGUCAAGCACCGCCUGAAAUCCUUAUGGCCCUAGAGCACCAAGAGGAGGUGGCGGACCCACAUACCAUGGGAUGGCUCUCGUAUGAGGGGUAUACUUAGGGAAUAAAUUUAAUUUAAAUAAUUGAAUAUGCAACGGAAAAAUAAUAAAUAACAUACAAUAUGUUAUUCCAAUAUGCUAAAAAUGUCUCUAUAAUCUUAUCAAAUAGUGCUAAUAGCAUUUUAACAACUACACAACACCAAAGUGCGUCGAAGUGAGGCACCUGAUGAGCCUAAAAACAGAGGUGGAUGGUUUAAGGGUUGCGAUGGAAAGCAAUAUUGGAGCAAAAAAGGGGCAUAAAAACCCAAAUUUUGAGACGAAAGGUCAAGAAAACCAAAAUACAAGGGGUCUAAGUAAAAUACAGAGAAGCUAAGGAGACAAAGGAGAAGGAAAAGUAGUUGGAAUUGGCCAGAGAAGGGGGUUGCCAUCGACCCCCACCCAAAGUAGGUGUUGGUGGCAUUGUCUUCAUGAUUCAGCGUGUCCGUGUUUGUCUUAUCCAUUUUGCUUUAAUGUCUUUGUGUUUUUUAAAACUUCCAUGUUAUGUAUCAUUGAGGGCUUCAAAAAGAAAAAUAAAGAACGGUUAGAUCUUUCAUGUUGCGUUCUAAUUAUCUUUGCAAUGAUUAAAUUUUUUAUAAAACUCCUACUUGAAUGGUAUGUACUAUUGCAGUCGAACUUUUAUUAGUAUUUAAUAUAACAGGAUAGUGUUAUUUACACAUCUGUUUUACCCACACGCAUUUGUUAAUUUUGAACCAUCAAAUUUCUUCAAUUCAUUCGAUUAGACGGUUGGAUAUUGACCUCUCGUUGAUUUCUGUUCUUUGAUAUUUUUCAAUUCAUCUUAUCAGACAUCCGAAAAUUAAAAAAAUGUGUGAAUAUCACACCCCUAAUAAAAAAUGGUGGAUAGCACUACCCUAAUAAGGUUAGUGGAGUGUCAACUUCAUCUCUCGUAUUUUUCCACUCUUCAAAGUGAAGAUAUAUGAAUCUCAUCAUAUAGAUAAGAUUCUGUUAUAAGCUUAUCGUCAUAUCAAUGCUAGGUUAGGUUAGCGGCAGCGGCAUGGUCCCUUUUGGCCCAUACGUCCGUACACAGCUCCGUUAACUUAUCACGGAUGGGCAUUAGGAUAAGUUCUACUAGAUACCAGAAUCCCAGAUGGAAAAUUUAUCUCGUGUUCUCUGUACAAGUUAUACUAACGAGAGCAUCUUUCAACAAUCCAGAUGGAUAAGCAAUAACGGAGUUGUACCAACGGAAAUUUCAAUCGACGUUAGAUUCAUAUCCAUGUUUCUGGCAUCAAGUUAGGGUCUCGGAAAAUAGGGUCCCCUCUGGCAAUGGCCGGAUCGACAUAGAGAUUCGGAUGAUACCAAUAACCUCCGACAGUCCGACUGCCCGAAAAAUACAUGCGAAGGUCUUUCGAGGACUAUCCAAAUGUAUGACACAGACUCAUUAAUAGUAUGAUGAAAUGCCUUCCAAAAAUAUCUUGACAACAUUUGGCUAGACAUGUCAACCAUGCCUAGCCUGAGAUCUCAACAGCACUCGACAAGUUUUUUUGGCUUUGUUAAUACAACGCAAUAACGAUCGGUCCACUAAAUGCUCGACAAAUUUUUACGUGUUACGCGCACAUUAGUUUCUUUUUGUGUGCAUAUUUUUUAAAAUUUUAUUUGUGUUUGUACCCAUGUGUAUGUCAUCAUGUAACAUUGUAUAUUUAAUCAAUGAUAGAAAAAUUACAUAUGGUAUAUUUAUGUUUUAUGCCUAACUUUUGUAUCAUAUAUUUAUAUUUUUAGUUUGUACCCACUUUUAAUUUGCAACAUUUUUUAAAAAAAUUUGUAGUAUUUUCUUUUUAAUUUUAUUUUGUACCCAUGUAUUAAUUUCUUUUAGUGCCUAUAUUUUUUAAGUACCAAUUUUUUUAACACUAUGAAUACAUUCUUUUGUCAUUUAUUAUUUCUUAUUUUUACAUAGUUUUUAUCCAUUUAUUCAAUUAAAAUGUUUGAAUUUUUUUAUUGUAACCGUUUCUAAUAGUAUUAUAACGAAGAAUUUAAAAUUUAUAGGAUAAUAAAUUUCAUAAAAUAUCAAACAAUUAAUAUCAAAACUAUAAAAAAUAUAAAUAUUAAUUGUAAUAUAAUGAGGUGUACAAAGUCAAUAAACUUUAAUUAAACUUUGAAUACCAUUAAAAUUUUAGUCAAAGAAUGUUAAGGAUUAAAAACCGCAUCCAAAAUAUCCCUUAAUUGUAUGACGAAAUGCCUUCCAAAAAUAUCUUGACAACAUAUCUUGACAACAUUUGGCUAGACGUAUCAACCAUGCCCACCCUGAGAUCUCUCGACAGCACUCUGACAAGUUUCUUUGGCUUUGUUAAUAUAAUUCAAUAACGAUCGGUCCACCAAAUGCUCGACAAAUUUUUGCGUAGCCGCGCACAUUAUUCAUCUAAAUAGAACCUGAAUGUUUUAGGCUGAAAUUCUUAAUCCUGAAUCCGCCAGCCAUACGUCCACACUUACAACUACGACGAAUAGCGCCCAUGGAUAAGAUAUCUUUCUACAAACGAGAAGUAUUGACACAAGCACCAGAUUAUAUAGAUCCAGUACCACAUCAUAAUACAUUACACAUGCACGAACUAAUAUGCAGUUUUAUUAUUCAAAAUACAACAGCAGGAACUUGUAAGGGAAAAUUAAACACUCUCUUUACAAAUAACAGCAGAGAUUAUGCAGAUUUAGCAACAUGGAAACCCUAGCAACUCGGAACGAACACACCCAAACCCUAGCAACAGCGGAGAUUCAACCACUAUACUUAUAUAGUCGCACAUGCACUAGAUUGAAACUCAGAACAAACAACACCCAAAACCCUACGUGGAAACCCUAGACAGUUUCUUUUUUCCUUCCAGCCAUGGCUAAACCGUCCACAGAAAACAUGUACAUCUCAUCGCAUGCCGUGAGGAGGGCUCACAUCUCAAAUCUCACGGAUGAUUUCGAUUGGACAAGAACUCAUAUGUCACACGUCGUAAGGAGAACGGGCGCUCCUAGCUCCAGGGACCUCGCUCGCCUUCUCGUAUGCAUCCGAUGCUGACCUUCUUCGAAACCGCCCGAAUGGCUCCCUGCCACCUAAAAACACAACACUCUCAACAUUUGCCUCAUAACACUGCUCGACUCGUUAAAGUCCACUUACUACUCUUUAAGAAUAUUAAAGACUGCUUAUCUCGUUGAGAAUUUUUUAUUGUGUCGGGAACACACCACACCAUCUAUUUUUAUAUAAGUGAUAGAAAUUUUUUUUUUUUUAAGUUAUUAACUUUUUAAUACAUAUAUCCUACUAUUUAUAUAAUGAGACGCGGUACCAACACGUGUGCGAAAAAUCUCUCCAACUCAUUAUAGUCCACACUUACUGCUUUUAAGAAGAUUAGGUCAGAUUUGAUACUAUUCUCAACAAGGGCAUAAAUGUCAAUUAACUAACAAACAUAAACAUCACAAUAUGAACAGCUGCAUGUACCUACACAAAAAUCCAUCCAAAUUCUAGAACAUUGAAAUUUGACUCCACAGCGUGUUAAAUUACUACUACACCCCUUGUCUCCCUGCACAUCCGUGAUGAGUGGAAGCCCCACCAAUACCAUUUGUGGAAACUAGGUCCUCCGUGCAGGGAGCCAGUGGCAUAUCUGACAUUUCAAAU